GACUUUGUGUUCGGUAAUGCACUAGCUGUUUUUCAAAAUUGCACUUUCGUGGUCCGAAAGCCACUGGAGAACCAACAAUGCAUUGUGACUGCACAAGGUAGAAAAGAGAUACAACAACCAUCGGGAAUAGUAAUCCAAGGGGGAUCCAUUGUGUCUGACCCUGAGUUCUACUCUGUGAGAUUUGAGAACAAGGCUUACCUAGCUCGUCCAUGGAAGAAUUACUCCAGGACCAUCAUCAUGGACACAUACAUUGAUGAUUUGAUUGACGCUGAUGGGUAUUUGCCAUGGCAAGGACUAGAGGGUCCUUCUGGUAUGGAUACUUGCUUCUAUGCCGAGUACCACAACAUUGGCCCCGGUUCAGACAAAUCCAAGCGUGUGAAAUGGGCUGGGAUUUGGAACCUCAAUUCAAAAGCUGCACGUUGGUUCUCACCAUCUAAGUUUUUUCAUGGAACUGAUUGGAUUGAGGUUACUGGAAUUCCUUGCUUUCCUGGCGUGCCGAAACACCAUAGGCACAAAAAGACAAUACUUAAUUGGCAAUAAAAGUAAUGAGUUGCAAAAUCAAGCAAUAUAAAUUAAUUAAAAAGUAAUGAUUGUGCUUCUUUAUUCUUUAAUUAUUUUCAUUUCAUUAAUUAACUCUAGAGUUAACUAUAUUUUUUUAUCUCAAGCAAUUAAAUUUUGUCCAUAGUGAAGCUUCUCUCUUGUGUACUUUGAUUCCUUGAAAGAUGAGAAAAUGAAGAUUUUGCUUCCUUGACUAUUCUUUGUCUCUCUACAUUUGUGAUCAGUAUGAGUCAUAUGGAUUGACAAUUCAUAUGAUUCAUACGGAUCAACAAUUCGUAUGAGUUUUUUAAAAAAACUCAUAUAGAUCGCCAAUUCGUGUGAGUCAUACGGAUCGUCAAUUCAUAUAAAUUAUAUGGAUCACCAAUCCCUUUCACCUGUGUUGCUGGGUGUUGCUGGGUGUCUCACCAAAAAUGUUGGGUGGCCAAAGCAACUACCUUUUUUAUUGGUUGGUAUUUUUCCAGGGUUGCUAGCAACAUGUGAUGCAACUUGGGCUACUUUUUGCAUCUCCAACUUUUUCAUGUAGGGUCUGGCUAUUACACCUAUGUAUUUCCUAAGUACACCCGUAUGCCCCCACUACAGAUAGCCAAUUACCCUUUAUACUCUUUUUCUUAAAAGCACAUGCCCUUUUUGCUUUCAGAAAUGUAUUUAUGGAAUUACACAUACAUAUUCUAGAAAUGUAUCUCUGAAACUAUGAUUCAUAGUUCCAGAGAUAUACUUUUGGAAUUGGUAUAUAUUUUUUAAUAAAAUAUCAUUUAAGAAUUAAGAUGAUUGAUAAGAAAUUAAAAAAAAUAUGAUAAACAUUUAUCUUUUAUUCAUGUUUAUUAGUCUUAUUUUCAUCCCAUCAUUAAUGCUCUUUAAACCCUAAUCGUAAACUGUUGUCACCGUAUAUUCAUUAUAUAAUAUAACAUUUUUAUCAUUAUUUUACAAUAUUUUAUGUUUUUCUUCAUAUGACACUGAGUUUCAACAUACGUUCAUUACUAACUUACUUCAUAUAUUAUACAUCUUUAUUACAAAGCAAAGUUGUUGACGAUGAUUUUCUUCCUUUAAGUGUGUUCAUUCAUUUUAUAAUCAGAGUCUAUGUCAAUGAUUCAGUAUCACGUAAAGUUAGUGAUGAAAAUACCUUGAAACACAUUUUCACAUGAAGUAAAAUGAAGAAAUUAUAAUCAUUCUUAGCCAAAAUUGACUAUCAAAUAAACUUAAAUUUUAUAGUUAUCAUGCACCAAGUUGUUUAAAGUAAUAAAGUUUGAUGACACAAUGUAAUGCAUUUCCUCUCUUGAGAUUGUUUAACUAAUAACUUUUGAGAUUGUUGUGAGAUUGUUUUGAGAUACCUAGCUAGCAAAUAAUUCCUUUACAUUUGAUGGAUAAUUAAUAACUUUUGAGAUUGUUUAACUUUUUUAUUUGUGUUCACGCUGGUUUGGAAUCAAAUGUUUGACAAAAAAUAAAUAAAAUAAUUUAUUUAAUUAAAAUAAUUUAUUUUCAAAAUGUAUAAAUCAAUUAUCAAAAUGUAUAAUCAAUUAUUCACAAAAAAAAUUGAUAAUCAAUUGUAGGACAUGAAAAUCAAUUUUCUAAGUUUUCAAAAUCGAUUUUCAUAUAAGUUUGGAGGUAUAUAGUUAAAUUAAAGUAUAAUGGGAUAAUUAAGUAUUAGGUUUAUCUUAAAAUUAUCUCUAUUGUACUAUUGUGUUUACUAAGCCUAAUUUAACUAAAAAUCCCUUUAGAAGAUCUUCUUGCUUAUUUAUUAAGUAUGAAUCAAUCUAAUAAAAGUAAUAAGGACUCAAGAAUUUAUUCAUUUGCAAUCCAUCAUAUAACAUGAGAACGUCUAGCGAUAACUCAAACAUCACCACUUAUUUCCACUACCACACAAAUCACACCACCAUGUGCUUCAAGGAAGUGUAAAUCUGAAUAUGACAUAAGAGAUAUAAGUAAACAUGUGCCUAUGGCUCAUUUCUAGUCAUAUUGCUACAUACUAUAACAUGUCUAAGAUCUAAUGUGGAGUGGAGAAAGUUACGCCAAAAGUAGAGGCAAAAUAACUUCAAUAAUGUUAUUUCAAAUGGGUUAAGGAGGCUGGCUUUUGGACAAGUCAUAGCAUAUUUGAUUUGAAUUAUGCCCAAUCCUAUGGUGAUAAUCAACUGUGGUUGGGAUCUGUGCUGAAUUUAUUUAUGAUCAUAGGAUACAAAUAAACAACAAUAAGUUAUAUGCAAGAAUUUCUCAUCCGGAUUUGUUAAUGAUUUCCAAUCAAACUAAUAUAUAAAGGACCAAAGGCUACCACUUCAAAAGCAUUAGAAACUAAAAAAAAUUCUAAGUUGCAUCCUUUUGCUAAAAGCAAAUUCUUUUAGCUUUUUUUUUUCUAGAAUGCGUUAGCAGUUUUUUAAUAAAUAAGAGAUUCAUACUGUUGACUCCUUGGCAAGUGCACCAAAUUGUCACAAGUAGUGAAGUACUCGGAUGUCUGAGUGUCGAAUCCACAGGGACUUUGUUUGUACUUAGAUUAAUGCAAAUCCAAUUUUAGAAGCAAGAGAUAAAAAAUUUAAAAUAAAAGAUAAAGAAAGAUAAGAUAAAUAUUUAAAGAUAAAAAUAGAAGAUAAAGAAAAAGAUAAAGGAAUUAAAGAUAAGAUUAAAAGAUAGAAGAUUAGAAAGAUAAAAGAUUUAGAUAAAAGAUAAAUUCAAGAUAAGAUAAUGUUAGGAACUGACUUGCCUAGCCUGCCUAGGAUGUAUGAGUUUAUGAUGUUUCUUUACCAAUUCAGGUAUCUCCCAAAUGCCUUUGCAAAGACUCAACAACAGAUAAAAUGCCUGAAGUUGUUCUAAUUCUAGAUGUUUGCUUUGACGCAUGGACAUAAUGCAAUCACUCUAUGCCUAGCAAUGAUUUUAUUAUGAUAUCUUUUCUUCUUGUUCUAUUAGAAGUUAUCCUCUCCCGAGCGUCUAGCCCCUAAAACUAAUGCAUGCAUAUCUUCUUUAAAUCUUAUUUAGAAGUUACCCUUUCCCGAGCAUCUAACCCCUAAUAGAAUAUAAAGAUGAGUAUGCAAGAUGAAAACAUAAAAGAAAAUAGGAAAGAAAAACCUGGUAUUGCAUUGAUAAAUGGUGAAGAGUACAUCAUACAUUACAAUGGCUUCUAGACCUGUCAGGCCCUAACUAAGGGUUUAGCCACUCAUGGCCAUUGAGGGCUUUACAAUGAGAAGAGGGAUGAAAGAAAGGGAGUAAAUGAAACCCCUAAGAGAGGGGGUUCUAUUGUGGUGUGUUGUCCUCCUUGGACUGGCUGUCUAUUUAUAGCUGCUGAAAUGGGCUUUGGGCCUUCGUAGGCGCGCUUAGCGCGACACCCCUCGCUCAGCGCGUGUAGAUCGCGUGCUUAGCGCGCUUGUUGCAGGCUUAGCGCGUGCUUCUGUUGGAUCGUGGGCUUAGCGUGCGUGUUGCAGGCUUAACACGUGCUUCUGUUGAAUCACAGGCUUAGCGCGUGUUUUGCAGGCUUAGCGCACAUGACUACUCUCGAGCUUAACGUCUCACUUAGCGUCUGUGCUUCCUGGCCCACUUAGCACAUGACACGCGCUAAGCGCACGUAUUGGGCUGGGUCUACUUCAGAUUUUCUUCUUUUCUUCAAUUUUUCUGAGCUUUUUGCUUGUUACACCUCCAGUUUUUAUAUCUGCAGCCAAAAUUCAACAAAACCUUUAUGCUCUCUUAGAACCCUAAAAUAAGGUUAAAGAUAUCAUAAUUAGGCUCAGGGGUUUUAUUUAGAAAAAUAAUUACUAAUUUUGGCUCAACAAGGGUGCAAGGUAUAAAUUUCAUCACAAGUUGGCGUUUUGGCUAAGUGGCUAAAAUAAAAAAAGAAACAUGGCCUUGAUUAUAUCCACCUUAUGUAAAUAAUCUAACAGUCUAAGAAUGAUGCAAAAUUAGGAAUUUAAAAACAGAUGUUCUCUCAUAAUUAAGUUCACACAGCUCACCGGGACAAGAUAAAGUUAUUGGCUUACCGGACCAUGAUCUCUUUCCAUCAAGCUAACCUUUUCUCUCUUUGUGAUUCAUGUUCCACUAUUUGACUGACUCUUGCUUCCAGGAAACCAGUAUUUUCACAAUUGUCAUGCAACAUUUCAAGUGUUGAAUCCAUAAGAAAAAGUCUAAAUAGUCUCUUCACAAAUAUCAUGCAAUUUUUAUUCAAUGACUAAAUUUAAAGUACUGGAAUUAAAAUGCAUAAAAUCAAAAUGCAAAAAUUCAAAAUAAAAAAAGAAAUAACACAAUUAUCCUAAAAGAAACAAAUUGCAAUUAACUAAAAGAGAUAAAGUAAGAAAUCCUGGGUUGCCUCCCAGUAAGCGCUUCUUUAACAUCAUUAGCUUGAUGGGUCAAAUGCAUUCAAGGUGGCAUGAAGGUCACAUAAAACACAUCUUCCUUGCAUUUUCGCCUCUUAGCUAGAGACGCCAUGAAACUCAUGUAUCCCGGAAACACCUUCCAUAUUGUUGCAAGGGAAGUGCUGGUGGUCAAGGAGAGAAGGACACUUAAGGGUUUAUCAUGUUUUCCAUGUCUUUCUUACUUGACAAUCAGUUGAUGAGGAGGGUUUCUUGUUGAAUUUCUACUUGUGAGUGUUUCUCCCAUUGUUGUGCUUUCUCCUCAUUUCUUUCUAUCUCUUCCUUAUUUUCUUCUUCCACAUCUUCCUCAGUUAAAAUUACUUUGCACUCCUCUUUGGGCUUCAUCUCAGUAUUGACCCUAAAGGUUUCGGUGGGCCUUUCAGCAACUAGCUUAGCUAGUUGUACUUCCAGAUUUCUGAUGUGACCUUGUUUCCUGCAUGAAUUGUAAUAACAAUUCUUCUAGCCUAGUGCUUUCUUCCUGUGGGCUGGGCUCUUGGUCACGUAGAAUGACAUGAUCAUUGGCCGCCAUAUUCUCUAUUAGCUCAAUAGCUUCUUUCGGAGUCUUUAACUUGAUCUUCCCAUCGGCUAAGGCAUCGAGGAGCUGCUUGGAAUGGGGUUGUAAGACAUCAAUAAAGAUGUUGAGCUGGAUUGGAUCGCUAAACCCAUGUGUAGGAGUCUUCCAAAGUAACCCAUGAAAGUGAUCAAGGGCUUCACUCAACGAUUCAUGAGGAUGUUGGUGGAAGGAUGAGAUUUCCACCUUUCCCUCAAUGGUCUUGGACUCUGGGAAGUACUUCUUCAGGAACUUCUCCACCACCUCGUCCCAUGUCCGCAGGCUAUUCCCCUUAAACGAGCGAAUCCAUGUUUUUGCUUUAUCGGCCAAGGAAAAACAAAAUAAGUCGAGGCAGAUGGCAUCUUCAGGCACUCCUACUAUCUUCACCGUGUUACAAAUAUCUAUGUAUGUGGUCAAGUGUGCAUAUGGAUCUUCACUUGGUAGGCCGUAAAAUAAAUUCCCUUGAAUUAGCUGGAUCAAGUAAUAUGGAUAUGAGAAGUUGGCUGUCUGCACCUCUGGUUUAACUAUCCUGGUGAAGUAUUGAAGUAUAAUAGGACUAGAGUAAUCCUCUAGUGUUAUCCUCUGUGGAUGAUCUCUUGCCAUGAUGAGUUCUUCAAAGAAGAAAUGUGCAUUGUUCAUAAGAGAAAUAACUACCAUGCACGUUAUCACAGAAUAAAUAUUUUUUUUUUAAUUUUAUUUUUCUUUGUUAAAAAGAAAAGAAUAAAAAAAGAAUGAAUACAGAGAAGAAAAAAAAUUGAAAAAAAAUGAAGCAACUAAAAAUAAUAAAAAUAGAUAAAAAAAAGUAAAAAUAAAAAAUAAAAAGUGAAAACUAAUUGCUUUAAAAUUGGAAUAUGCAAAUAAUCAAGUACGAAAGUCCUCGGCAACGGCGUCAAAAACUUUGUUUGUACUUAGAUUAAUGCAAAUCCAAUUUUAGAAGCAAGAGAUAAAAAUUCAAAAAUAAAAGAUAAAAAAGAUAAGAUAAAUAUUUAAAGAUAAAAAUAGAAGAUAAAGAAAAAGAUAAAGGAAUUAAAGAUAAAAUUAAAAGAUAAAGAAAAGGAUAAAAGAUUAGAAAAGUGAAAGAUAAGAAAGAUAAAAGAUUUAGAUAAAAAAAGAUAAUUUCAAAAUAAAAUAAGAUAAUGUUGGAAACUGACUUGCCUAGCCUGCCUAGGAUGUAUUAGUUUAUGAUUUUUCUUUACCAAUUCAGGUAAUUCUAUCCUACUCACAUCUAUUUAUUUACUUGCCUUGCCCCUGAUGCCUCACGAUGACAAGCCUAUUUUACCUAUCUAUAUUCCAAACAUGGGCAUAAUGCAAUCACUCUAUGCCUAACAAUGAUUUUAUUAUGAUAUCUUUUCUUCUUAUUCUAUUAGAAGUUAUCCUCUCCCGAGCGUCUAACUCGUAAAACUAAUGCAUGCAUAUCUUCUUUAAAUCUUAUUUAGAAGUUACCCUUUCCCGAGCAUCUAAUCCCUAACAAAAUAUAAGGAUGAGUAUGCAAGAUAAAAACAAAAAACAAAUUAGGAAAGAAAAACCUGAUAUUGCAUUGAUAAAUAGUGAAGAGUACAUCAUACAUCGUGUUUGCUUUUAGGCCUGCUAGGCCCUAACUAAGGGUUUAGCCACUCAUGGUCAUUGAGGACUUUACAAUGAGAAUGGGUGAAAGAAAGAGAGGGAGUAAAUGAAACCCUUGGGAGAGGGGUUCUGUGGUGGUGUGUUGUUCUCCUUUGAACUAACUCUCUAUUUAUAGCUGCUGAAGUGGGCUUUGAGCCUUCGUAGGCGCGCUUAACGCGACACCCCCUCGCUCAGCGCGUGUAGAUCGCGCGCUUAGUGCGCGUUUUGCAAGCUUAGCGCACAUGACAACUCUCGAGCUUAAUGUCUCGUUUAGCGCCUGUGCUUCCUGGCCCACUUAGCGUGUGACGUGCGCUAAGCGCACAUAUUGGGCAUGGCCUACUUCAGAUUUUUUUAUUUUCUUCAAUUUUUCUGAGUUUUUUGCUUGUUACACCUCCAGUUUUUAUAUCUGCAGCCAAAAUUCAACAAAACAUCAAUUCUUUAAUAUUUAAGCGCAAAUAACUACUAAAUAAUUAUUUAUAAAGAUAAUUUUACCUUAUUUUCUAUUAUCAAAAUACAAUUAUUUAACGGUUAUCACAUAUCUCUAUGACUUUGUCCAGCACCUAAUGUAACAUGUCUGGAUUAGGCCUAUGACCAGGAUAUCUUACUGAAAACAAUUUAUUUUAUACUAACAUUAAAAUAAACUUCGAACACCACUAAUAUCAUGAUAAAUUUUAAGAAUAAGAACAGGCUCAAAGAAAUGGCAAGACAAGUUGGCAGUUACCAAAUAUAAAUACUCUUGCGUGAUUAUGCGUGCAGGUAAGAUAAUUCUGGGAUCAAUUCUGUUAUAUGCUGUGUCCGUUUAUUAAUUAAUUACCUUUUUUUUUUAUCUCACGGUAGAUCUUAGUGUAUAAAACGAAAGUUCUCAAAUUAAGGGGCAGAGAAAAUUUUUUAUUUUCCGUGAAUUAGAGGGGUAAAAAUUAGGUUUUAAUAUUUGAUAUGUAUUUUAAAAAAUUAAUAUUUCUGAAAAAAAAUGUUUCUCAAGAAUUUUUUUAAUCAGUUUCCGAUGAAAAAAAUUUCUAUGUGAAGUAAGAAUCUUAUUUUUUAAUUUUUUUUUUCCUAUAGUAAAAAUAUCAUAUUAUUUUUUUAUUAAAUUAUAUAAUAUGAUAAAUACAAAAAUCAUAAAAAAUAUGUAAUUCUUUAUUUUUUAUAAAACUUAUUUAAAGAUUUCCAAUAUCAAUCAAAUAAAUUUAAUUUAUUUUAAAAAAUAUGAUUCUCAGACAUUAUAAUUCUUGAAUAUAAAAAAACUUCUUCCUCCUAAACGUCCCUAAAAGAAAUGUUCACUCUAGUCAAAGUUUGGGUUAGCAACAUUGAGUCAACAAUUUAUUUAUUUGGAUCUAAGACUCAAACUUAACAUCAAUGCAUUAAGUUGGUACCUAGUCUCAAUUCCCUUUUUAUGACUGAGAUUAAUUAAAUCCUAAUCCUUAGUUAAAGAAUCUAAAUUCUAAAUCACUUGUAUAUUAACAACUUGUUAAUUAGUGUCAUCAUCUUUUAUUAUGUGUAAAAAAAACAUGAUCUGGUUUUUUUCUCAGCUCCCCUCAGUUUUAGUUUGUCCAAACAUAAACGUAUAAGCCCACAGAAAAACAGAUAUGGAUAAUAAGGUUUGUGUUUCUCUGAAUUCAAAUCUUGGAAAUGUUCAUAUAUAUGUUAUUAUGAUACUCACGAGAGCAGUGUAUUAGGCAGUGUAUUUAAUUACAGUUAUUAAUGAAGAAGGGUUCUCUAGCAAUAGACCAGAAGAUAGAGCAUUCAAUUUAUGUCAUGAAUUAUGCGAUUUGAGUUCUGAAAAUCACCCUGGAAUCCGCCUUACUUUGAUGCUGAAAAUAUAAAGAAAAUAGGCCUCAGUGCCCCGUUGCACCAGUGGGGAUUUGAUAUGUAUAGCACCUUUGAUUGACUGAUUGCACCCCAAGUAAUAAUAAAUUAAUAGAAAAAUAUAUUCCACCUUACUUUCAUAUCCAAAUAUUUAUUUUAAACUUUAUUAUAUUUUUAGUUCAUUAAAUUAAAAGGUAUAUGUCCUUCAAGUAAAAAUUUAUAUUUUUUUAGUUCCUUAAACUUAUAAUAAAAUACUUUUUUAGUCUUUUCAAAUUGAGUUUUUUUUAUAGUUUAGAUACAUAAUUUAUGGAGUUUUUUUUAAUAGAAGUACUAAUCAAACAUUUUGUAAAAUUGAGUGAAUAAAAAAUAUAAAUUUUAAUCUGAAAACUUAAAAAGAGACCUCAAAGGACUAAAAAAUAUAUUAAAAUUUUUAUUUUAAUACCAAAAGCAAAAUCCUUGUACUAUGAUUGCUAGUUCCCAAUUUAUGUUAUAAAAUUAAAAUAUAAAACGGUAUUACAUUUAUAUAUUAAAAUAAAACGUGAUUCCUAAGAAUUUGAUAUUAUUAAUUGACAACUAUUGUGUACUUGCAGUUUUUUCACGUCAAUCCCUCAUGGAGAAACUUUGUUUAUGAAGAAUUUCAGUGUUUUUCUGUUAUUGGUAGAUAUAAAUUUGCAAUUUGUUUGAUAUUUAUUAAUCAAUCGCUAUUAAUAGAAGUAAUGAAAGGUGAAUCUGAGUUUGAAUUUGUGAGAUUCAGAAUGUGUUAGAUUUUGAAUGUGAAAGAGAUUAAAUAAUAAUAUGGUAAAACAUGUUUUUGUUCUCUAUAAAACAUUUGAAGUUUAGUUUUAGUCUCUUAAAAUAAUUUGGUUUAUUUUUCAUUAUAAAUGUAUCAUUUUUAUCCCUCAAGUAUUAUUUAAACCACUUCUUGUCUCUUCAUAAAGUAUUAUAUAAGUCACAUCAAAAAUAAAAAGUGACACGCUUAAAUAAUAGAAAGAUAAAAAAAAAUGAACAAGUUUUUAGAGGAACUAAAACUAAACAUUAGAAAUUUGAGAGACCAAAAUCAUAUUCUACAAAAAGAUACACCACAAAGUAGCAAAGGUCAAAUAAAAAAUAUAAACUUUUAUUUCAAGUCAAUUUGACAAAAAAUUUACCAGUUGAAAUUACCUUCUAUACCAAAUCAAUUUUAAUAUUUAGUCAUACAUCACUUAUAAGGUGAUACUCGGUGGUACACCUUACCCUGAACCAUACAUCUAAUAACAUUAAUUUUGAAAUACGAAGAAAAUUGUUAUAUCUCACUUACAACAUAUCACUUUAAGCAACACCAUUAUUUGUGCUAUUUAAAUUUAUUUUUAUAACCAUGAGAUAAAUUUAUUUUAAGGCAGUGAGUAAGUUAAGAAAUGUUUGUGCUAUUUAAAUUUUUCUUUGAACCAAACUAUAUGGCUGUCGAAACAAUUAUGGUAAUGCAAUAGUUAAGAGUAGUUAGUUACAUAAUAAUUAAUUACAAGUCAUCUGGUAUAAUUUAUAAAAUAAGUAUUAUAAAAUUUAAUAAAUUUAUAAUAUAAUAUGAGGUUUAUGAUUGAGUAAUAAUGUAAAAAAAAUUAUUUUAUCCGUAUAUAUACUAUUUACUCUAUUUUGUGUUCAUUUCUUUUAUUUCUUUCUAUUAUUUUUAGGGUCUUAUUUUUCUAUUUUAAAAUGUAAAUAAUAAGUUUUCUUAUUUAUACUAUAUAGUAUGAAUAUCCAAAUAGUAGAACAGAGACUGUAAUAUAUGUUUUAUCUUAUUUUAUUUUAUUUUCAUUUUAUUUCGACUUAAUUUCCACAUAUAUGAUUUAUAUUAACAUGCAUGCCAUUAGUUUGAGUGCUGAAACUAAAUUCAUAUCUAUUAGUUUGAGUACUGAAACUAAAUUCAUAUCUUUUAAUUAAGAUGUUAAAUUUGAAUCUUAUAAAUAAAUAAAAAUUUGAUUGAGAGAAGAAAUUUUCCUUUUUUUAUAUAAAAGAAAAAAUCUUACUAAAGUGAUUUGAUCUGAAUUGUAUUGUAAAACAUAUAUGAUUGAGAGAAAACUAGCUACAUUUUGCAAUAGAAAUUAGGCAUUUUAGAAAGUAAAUAUUUACAUCAGUAAGAAGGAAAAAAACUUAAUGCCUAUAUUAUUUAUUAUAUUCAUUAGUUAGCUGGAGGAGUAGUUAAGUCACCCUCAACUUUAUUCAAAUUAAUUUCCUAUAGAUCAUUGGACUUGCAGUGUUAAUGAUCUGAUUUGACGUCAACAUAAUUUAAAUUGAUCCGGUGCAGGUGAUGAUUUGGUCUGAAUUGUAUUAUUAUUCAAUUGCGUUCUUUCCGAAAAUAAUUUCAUAACCUUUUCAUAUCAUUAAAAUUCAUGCACAUUUUCUUUUUUAUUCUAAUUGCACAUUUGGUUUAUUUAUACAUGGUUAAGAAAUUUCAUUGUUAGGUGGUUAAGAGUAGUUAGUUACAUAAUUGGUCAAGUGAUUAGGUUAAAUGGAUGGACAAGAGUGGAAGGAGAUUUCAUUCUCAAUAGUUAGUAUUAAGAAAACUGAGCAUUAGCUCAAUUGUAGAAUGGGAAACCCCUGGACGGAGUAUUAAUAACAUCAUAUUUUUGCCGUCUUGUGCUCUGAAUCUAUAUGCAUUUCUUCCUUAAUACUUCGUAAUUUAUCUUUCCUUUCUUUUAUCACUUCACAUAGAGGAUGAAAUUGAUGAUAUCCAGAAGGUAUAAUCUUGUAGAUUACAUGUACUUGAUAUUUGUUGUACCCAAAUUUUUAAAUUUUGAUUAUGUUCAAUAUUUUCAGGAAAUUUCUGUUCUGUCCCAAUGUCGAUGUCCAUACAUUACUGAAUAUUAUGGUUCCUAUCUCAAUCAAACUAAACUUUGGAUAAUAAUGGAAUACAUGGCUGGUGGCUCAGUUGUUGAUCUAGUAGGCAAAGGCUGCUGGUGACAGAAAUUCAAAUGCCUCAAUGGAAGAUAGUGCAACAAGUCUUGCUGAGGUAACAUUUCUCUUUGAUAUAACUUGUAAUUUUCACUUGCAUGUUGAUUAAUACAAGCUGAGCCUCCCCCCUUUCUUUUGUAUAGAUUUGGUUCCAUGAUGCUGUUGAUUUAUUUGUAGAACAAUAUUUAUUAUUUUCCCUUGUUAUAUAGUUGCCUGAGUUACCCACCUAGGUGUUUUGUAGGGUAUAUUCUUAAACCAUUUCCUAUGUAUCUGUGUCGAAAUUUUUUCACUUUAUAUUCAUUUAUAAUUUAUUACGAGACUUGACAUGUUUGUGAUUACUUCGGAUUGAUAUUGCUUAUAAACAACAUUUUCCUACCUGUUUGUCUUUGUAGGCAAAGGGUGCUAUCAUGAGGAAACAAAAAAAAAUAGCUCCAAUAACAAAAAUAACAAAAAAAAGUUGCAUUCUACAUUGGUUCUAGAAAGAUCGUCGUAGAAUGCUAUCCAUUCUAAGACGGUCACAUGUGAAUGACCGUCUUAGAAUGAGUACCUGAUACUCAUUCUAAGACGAUCUUUCACACAUGACCGUCUUAAAAAUAUACCUAUUCUAAGAUGAUUCUGCGCGAUCGUUGUAGAAUACCUACUCCUUUUUACGACGUCAUCUAGAAUGACUCAAUUAAUCGAUGUAGAAUGCACCUUCUCUAGUAGUGACACAUUAAUUAAACAUAUUUGUUUAAAAAGUAAAUUACACUAAUCGUUCCUAAAGUUUUGUGAAAUUACAUAAAUUUUUUCUACUUGUAUGUACUCCUACACUAAACCCUUAAUUUUAUGAAAAUAUAUAUCAAUACACCUUAUACAUUACAUUAACCGCCCUUAAUUGCUUUGAAAAACAUUACGCCAUCCUCCCCUACAAGGGAGGUUUUUGUAAAUAUUAAAAAUUGAGAAAAACUUUAUGUACACCAAAUCUCAUGGAAUGCUAAUUAGUGUAUUUUACUAUAGUUUAAAAUUAUAGUUAAAUAUUUAUGGAGUGUGUGCUAACUUGUCUUAAGGAAUUUGUGUACAAACAAAACUUGUUCCUUAAUUUUAAACUUUGGAGGUCAUUUUCAAAGUGUACGCAUAUGAAAAAAGUAUUAAAAAAAUUAUACAAAGAUAAUAAUUGUAUAUAAUAAAAUAGAUUAUAUUAAUUAUUUCGUAUUCAAAAAGAAUUAUUUGUUUGAUCAUUUUUUUAUUGCUGACAUUUAAGAGUGAAUUAAAGUAAGAAAACUUUCAAUUUGUAACCCAUGUUUAAGACUGGUGUAUAUUGUACUACCAACUAUAGACCUGGUCUGAUACCACAUUUACUAUUGGUAGAGCGUAAAUCAAGGUUAUAACUUAGUGGAUUAGCAUAAAAUUUGUCAAAAAUAGGUCAUAUAAGCUAACCAUAUACACAAUGUGGCCUUUACAUUCCCUCUCUCCCUUUCUUAUUUUAGAAAAUAUGAUUUUUAACGUUUUAACAAACCACAAAUUGCAUUUGAAUGAUUCAAUUGUAUUAGCUGUUCAAUACCAUUUUUUGUAUGCAUAAAUAACACUUUACAUUGCAUCCCUAAACUACAAAAACGUAUUCUUUGAGGGAAUUUGACAAAAAAGUAGCCACUGCCCCAACGAUCCCAUUUCCCUUGACUUCUCUACCUGAAGCUCCUUGUUUCGCAUAGUAUGUGCAUAAAUUAAUAUACAAGUUAAUUUGAGGAAUACAAUAUAUUUAUAUGUUAUGUAAAUGUGACUUUCUUAUUAUUAGAUUUUGAUCUUUAAAAAAAUUAAUUUUGUUUAUUUUGAUCUUCAACAAAAUUAUUAUAUUUCAAAUAGUGUCUAUAGUUACUUGAUGAUGAUGUUAAAUGCAUUUAGUUAUACCCUGUUACAUGUCACAACAAAAUGGUUGGUGGUGCGAUAUGAGUAGCUGCAUGACAUUUUAUAACCAAGCGCAUUAUAUGAAGUUUUUUUCAACAAUUGUAGAGAUAAAAACAAAAGAAAAAAGAAUCAAAAUCAAACAAGCCAUGUUUAGAGUUUAAAAACAUGCCCAUUCUUAAAUAGUGUAUAGGAAUAUUAUGGCCAUAUUACUUGUCACAUUAACUAAUUUUACAGUAAUACUCAUUAAUGACAGGGAGGUAGUUGAAAUGUCCGAGGGAAAUGCAGGGAAAGGAAAGAAAAUCGCCAUCAUUGGUGUCUCAACCUUAUUGUUGGUGGCUAUGGUUGUGGCGGUCACAAUUGGGGUCAAUCUCAAUGAGAAUGGUUCCAACAAUGAUAUAGAGGACAACAAGAAAGAUCAUGUUGCUUCUUCCAUAAAAGCCGUCCAAACCCUUUGUCAUCCCACAAAUUAUGAGAAAGAAUGCGAGGAAAGCCUUAUAGCUGGGGCUGGAAAUACCACAGAUCCAAAAGAACUCAUCAAAAUUUUCUUCAACAUCACCAUUACAAAAAUUGGUGAUAAACUCAAAGAAACUAAUAUUUUGCAUGAGAUUGAGGAGGAACCCAGAGCCAAGAUGGCACUUGACACUUGCAAGCAACUCAUGGAUCUUUCUAUUGGGGAAUUAACAAGGUCACUUGAUGGAAUAAAUGAGUUUAACCUCAUAAAUGUUGACAAAAUCCUCAUGAAUUUAAAAGUUUGGCUUAGUGGUGCGGUUACAUACCAAGAUACUUGCUUGGAUGGGUUUGAGAACACCACUAGUGAUGCUGGCAAAAAGAUGAAGGAUUUGUUGACGAUAGGCAUGCAUAUGAGCAGCAAUGCCCUUGCCAUUGUAACAGGUUUGGCUGACACUGUUAAUGAUUGGAAUAUCACAAAAUCAUUUGGGCGUCGCCUCCUUCAAGAUUCUGAGCUUCCGUCAUGGGUUGAUCAACAUAGACUCCUUAAUGAAAAUGCAAGUCCAUUCAAACGCAAGCCUAAUGUUACUGUAGCCAUAGAUGAUAGUGGAGAUUUCAAAAGCAUCAAUGAGGCAUUGAAGCAAGUGCCUGAGAAAAACCGAAAGCCAUUUGUGAUCUACAUCAAGGAGGGCGUUUACCAAGAGUAUGUUGAAGUUACAAAAAAAAUGACCCAUGUGGUGUUUAUUGGUGAAGGGGGGAAAAAGACACGAAUAUCUGGUAACAAAAACUUCAUAGAUGGAACGAACACUUAUAGAACUGCCACUGUCGGUAUGUCUCUUUUCGUGAUUAUCAACUUAAUUAACUUACUACUCCUAUGCAUUUGAGUAAAAAAAAAACUUAAUAACUUAUCCAAUAAAUUUAUUAAAUAUCAUAUGUCAUGUUCUUCAACUUGAAUAAACUCUUUGAAAAGUCCUUUCCUUACUUAACAUUUUAAGGUCCAUAGUUUUUAUUUGAAAACACCUUUAACCCGCCCCAAAAUGAAUAAAUUAAUAAAAGAUACAUUUACAAAAUUUAAAAAAUAAAAAUAUAAACCAUUUUCAAUUCAAGGGAAAUUUUUCAUUCGAAUAAAUAAAUUAACUACUUUACGCAUGCAGCUAUUCAAGGAGAUCACUUUGUGGCCAUCAAUAUGGGGUUUGAGAAUUCUGCUGGACCUCAUAAGCAUCAAGCGGUGGCAUUGAGAGUCCAAGCAGACAAGUCCAUCUUUUACAAUUGCUCAAUGGAUGGGUAUCAAGACACACUUUAUGCACACACCAUGCGUCAAUUCUAUUUUUCAUUCGAAUAAAUAAAUUAACUACUUUACGCAUGCAGCUAUUCAAGGAGAUCACUUUGUGGCCAUCAAUAUGGGGUUUGAGAAUUCUGCUGGACCUCAUAAGCAUCAAGCGGUGGCAUUGAGAGUCCAAGCAGACAAGUCCAUCUUUUACAAUUGCUCAAUGGAUGGGUAUCAAGACACACUUUAUGCACACACCAUGCGUCAAUUCUAUAGAGAUUGCACCAUUUCAGGUACCAUCGACUUUGUGUUCGGUAAUGCACUAGCUGUUUUUCAAAAUUGCACUUUCGUGGUCCGAAAGCCAAUGGAGAACCAACAAUGCAUUGUGACUGCACAAGGUAGAAAAGAGAUACAACAACCAUCUGGAAUAGUAAUCCAAGGGGGAUCCAUUGUGUCUGAUCCUGAAUUCUACUCAGUGAGAUUUGAGAACAAGGCUUACCUAGCUCGUCCAUGGAAGAAUUACUCUAGGACCAUUAUCAUGGACACAUACAUUGAUGAUUUGAUUGACGCGGAUGGGUAUUUGCCAUGGCAAGGACUAGAGGGUCCUUCUGGUAUGGAUACUUGCUUCUAUGCCGAGUACCACAACAUUGGCCCUGGUUCAGACAAAUCCAAGCGUGUGAAAUGGGCUGGGAUUUGGAACCUCAAUUCAAAAGCAGCACGUUGGUUCUCACCAUCUAAGUUUUUUCAUGGAACUGAUUGGAUUGAGGUUACUGGAAUUCCUUACUUUCCUGGCGUGCCGAAACACCAUAGGCACAAAAAGACAAUACUUAAUUGGCAAUAAAAGUAAUGAGUUGCGAAAGCAAGCAAUAUAAAUUAAUUAAAAAGUAAUGAUUGUGCUUCUUUAUUCUUUAAUUAUUUUUAUUUCAUUACUUAACUUUAGAGUUAGCUACAUUUUUUUAUCUCAAGGAAUUGAAAUCAAUGUAGCACAAUUCCUCUCUUGAUAACUUUUUGUUUAGUGGAUAAUAAAUGGGUCUUCUAUAUAUUCUUAAUUACAUUUGCAUCUAAUUUGAUUUUUACGUAAGUAAAGUGAUUUGUUGCUAUGUACUUUUAAUUGUUACAUUUGGCCUUUUCUUUUUCAACCAUCAUUUAUCAAAAUAAAAUUAUGAUGAAGCAUUUACAUAUUGGUGAAUUUAAUCAACACGACUACUUAAAUUUAACUCAUUGAAUGUGCUGUUUAAGUUUUAUUAAUCUUGUCACAAGUCUUUAUUGUAUUCUAUAUAGAUAAAAAAAUAAGUAAAAAAAAAUGACAAGGAUAAAAAAUAAUAUUUCAAACAAAUAAUUAAUGAUAUUUUAUUAUAAAUGAAGUAUAUCCGUAUCAAAGCCAUUAGAUUUGAACCUUAGUGUGAUCAUUGUACAUAAAAAAAAAAUAUCAAUGUGUCAUAUUAUUUUAUGACAACAUUGUUUGUGCAAGCUACAUUAUUAUUAAGAAAUUAUAUAUAUAUAGGUUUCAAGGACAUUAAGCUUAAGCUUACCUACAUCUAUAAAACAUUUUCCUCUUGACUUGUCCAUCAAUACAAUUUAAAUUUUUAUUAAUUUAACCAAUAAAAAAAUACAUUAAAAAGGUAUUUCUAGCACUACUCUUAAAUACAAUGACAAGGAAAGAAACCAAGUUACUCAAGUUGUUAUUCGCUAGGUAGGUAAUAUUACAUCCCAUUUAGAAGAGAAAUUUUAGCAAAGAUAUUGUUAAUACUAUUAUUAACUGAAAUUUUUUAGAAAUUAUAAAAUUAUUUAAUUUUUGUUAAAUUACAAUUUUUCUUACCUUCAUUUUCCAAAUUCAUGAUUUUGGUCCUCCUGAUUUUUAAUUUUAAAAUUUGAUCUUCCAAAUUUUGUAAAUUUAUAAUUUUGGUCAUCCUUAUAGAAUAUUAAACUAAUAAUUAUGAUUAACAGAUUUAUUAAAUUAACUAUAAAUUAAAUAAAAAUUAUUAAUCAUUAAAAAAUCUUAACAAAUGAUUAUUAAUUCUAAUGAUAUUGUUGCUAGUGGAUUCCUAUGUGAUGAUAGAGGUGAAAGAAGUAUUUACAGAAAAAAGUAAGGACACUCUCUUGUGAAGGAUCAAGGUUAAUAAUUUUUAUUAAAAUUUUAAUAGUUAGUGGGUUUUAAUUAAUUUAUAAUUAAAUUAAUAACAGUUUAAUCAAAAUUAUUUAUUAAUAAUCUAUCAGUGGAACAAAAAUCAUCAAUUUAUAAAAAUAAGAAAAUCAAAUGUUAUAAUUAAAAAUCAAGAGGACCAAAAGCAUAGAUUAAAAAAAUAGAAGGACAAAAAUUAUAAUUUAACCUUUAAUUUUUAUUAUUUAUUUAAUAAAUCUCAUUAUUGAUUUUUAAACUUUUAAUGAAUUUAAAAUAGAAGGAAUAAAACUCUCUCUUAUUUAAGUUUUAAAAUUUAAAAUUAUAAAAAUAAGAAAAUAAUUUUUUUUAAAUUUCUUUGCUUUCCUUCUUAAUUAAAUAAAACAUUUAAUUAAAAUAUUUUUUUUCUCUCUUCAGUUUAGAUCACUCACAUUCCUUCCUGAAAUAUUCAUUCACCAAGAAACUCAAUAUAUUUUAUUUGGAUUUCCAAGACAAUUUUCUCUUGUUUGAAACGAUAAAAAUUUAAGGAAAGAAAACUCAACACAAAUCUCACCUCGAAAUGUUUUCCAGCUCCCCAUCAUGCCAAAAUAUCCUGACAGGUAGCGACUAAGGGCAUAUUGUGAGGAAAAUAGUUUCACGUGUUGGUUUCACCUCCACUCAAAAGAUAACUACAUAAAAUACAAGUUUUCUAUAAGAAUGAUUUAGUGAGAGAAUUUAAAGAUAAAGGGUGAAGGAGAAAAGAAGAAGAGAUUGUAAUGGUAAAUCUCUUAUCAACAUUUUUAAUAAAAACUAACAAAUGAACAUCUGUUGAUAAAAAAAUCAUAAACUACAAUUGUCUCUUGUAUUCUUUCUUAUUAUUAAAAGGAGAAGGAAAAAAAAUAAAAAAUAAAAACUCAUUUAUUUGUAAUUUCCUUUAUAACUAAUGAUGAAGGCUGAGAUGUACUCUAAGAGAUAGAAAGAGAACAUAGUGUAGAGAAAAGAUGAGAAAAUUAUAUACGAGUUAUUAUUCUUUCUUGAAAUAAAUUUAUAUUUAUAAUUUUUCCUGUUUCAUAAAAGUGAGCAUUACUUAUUUAGCUCUUUUAAAUGAUAUAUUUAUGUUUGACUGUGAAAUGUCUUGCUUAAACCAUCAAAGAUCAAAUAUGAAAGAUGAUCAAUUUGAAAGGAAAAAAACAUGAAAAAUAUUAAAGAAUUUAACUGAAUAACUUAAGAUGAUACAUAAAUUAUUGUGAACUCUCACAUUAUCUAUCUUAGAUUUAAAAAAAAACAAACCUGAAAAAACUAUAUUUUAAAAAAAUUCAAAGGGAUACAAGUCAAGAAAAAUGAUAUUACUAAGAUAUAGCAUUAGAAUUAUGAAAUUUUAAGUAUUACAUUACAAUUUAAAUCGUAUGUAUUGCUAACCAAAUUAACCUCAAAUGUCAUGCACCUAACCAAAUUAACCUUCUAUAAAUCUAUGUACAAACAUAAUUUUUCACUUAUCACCUCUCGACCAUAUUCUAACAGCACCUAACCUUCGAAAUCCACAUAUUUUGACUCUUUCAACGUCACCUUCUCCAUUUGAUUAUUCAAAUUUACCAUAUCAAUAACAACUCAACUCCCCUUCCCACCUCAAUUUUCAUAUUCCAUCUAAUGCAAAAUCAAUCAUAAUUUUGUGUCAAAGAUAUAAGGUGAAUUGAAUGAUUAAAGAAAAACUAAAGAGAAAAAAGUCACAAAUUUAAUCUCUUUUAUUAACAGUAGUAACAAUAAAUAUUUAUAUUUUAAAAAAACAUAGUUUUGUCUGGAAAAUGCCUAGUGAUGAACUGAUGAUGCACUCAAGUACUAAAUUGACAUACAUCAUUUCCUCUCCACGAUUGACACGUUGGUUUUCCGCUCCAAGGAAAAAAAGACUUGAAUGUAAUUAGAUUAUAUCUCUCUCCUUAAGUUGUAACAACAGUUACAACAUUUCCAUGGUUCCACCUAUUUCUUGAGGUGUGUGGAUUAUCUCCUGCCAUCUUGCCUCUCCAACAAGAAAAACAAAGAGAGGAGAGGGCAUAGAAUAGAAAAGAGAGAGAUAAGUUGAAAGAUAAAAAAAAAAACAAUAGAAAAGGAAGAGAAAGAUAGAGAUGUUGAAGAAGGUCGGAGAGGAUCUGAAUAUUUACUCAAGCUAAGCUUGUAGUAUCUAAUAACAUUAUUGUUUGUAUUUUAAAAAACUCAGGAUAUUUAUUUUUCAUAAAUUAAUAACUAAUUCUUUGAAGUAUUGAAAUGAUUUAAAAGACCAACCUUUUCUUAUAGAUUUUUUUUUACUCCUAAUAGAUAUCAAGAAUGACAAGGCUUAAUCAAAUUUGUUUGAUAAAUAAAAAUGAGAGACACAAGAACAACUUUAAAUAAUUUGAAACUAACAAAGUAUGACUGCAUUAAAAUAAUAAAAUGUAUACUAAAAAUAAUAAGAUAUAAUUUUGGCCAUAAAAUCAUGAAAACAAUAACUGAGUAUUGUAUUUUUAUAAUAUAUAAUAUAUAAUUAUAUAAAUAUGAGUAUUGUAAUUUUAUAACUAUGGACAAAGAUAUGCACUAUUUAUCUAUUGAUUUUCACAAACAAUAAAUAAAUAGUGCGUAUCUUUGUCCACAGUGAAGUUUUUCUUCUGUGUACUUUGAUUCCGGAGAAGAUGAGAAAAAGAAGAUUUUAAUUUGCUUUCUUGACUAUUCUUUGUCCCUGUAUGUUUGUGAUCCUAUGAGUCAUAUGGAUUGACAAUUCAUAUGAUUCAUACGGGUCAACAAUUCGUAUGAGUUUUAAAAAAAUUCAUACAGGUCACCAAUCCGUAUAACUUAUACAGAUCGUCAAUCCAUAUGAAUCAUACGGAUCACCAACUCCUUUCACCCGUGUUGCUGGAUGUUCCAACAAAAAUGUUGGGUGACCAAAACAACUACCUUUUUACUGGUUGGUACUUUUCCAGGGUCGCUAGCAACAUGUGAUGCAACUUGGACUGUUACUUUCUCCAUCUCCAACUAUUUCAUGUAGGCUCUGGCUAUUACACCUACGUAUUUCCUAAGUACACCCCUGUACCCCCUAUGCCUCUCAAUUACCCUUUAUACUCUUUUUCUUAAAAGCAUAUGUCCCUUUUGCUUUCAGAAAUGUAUUUAUGGAAUUACACAUUCAUAUUCUGGAAAUGUAUCUUCGAAACUAUGAUUCAUAGUUCCAAAGAUAUACUUCUAGAAUUGGUAUAUAUUUUUUUAAUAAAAUAUCAUUUAAGAAUUAAGAUGAUUGAUAAGAAAUUAAAAAAAUAUAAUAAAUAAUUAUCUUAUAUUCAUGUUUAUUAGUCUUAUUUUCAUCUCAUCAUUAAUGUUCUUUAAACCUUAAUCAUAAACUAUUGUCAUCGUAUAUUCAUUAUAUGAUAUAAUAUUUUUAUCAUUAUUUUAGAAUAUUUUAUGUUUUCCUUUAUGUGACACUAAAUUCCAACAUACGUUCACCACUAACUUCAUAUAGUAUACAUCUUUAUUACAAAGCAAGACUGUUGACGAUGAUUUUCUUUCUUUAAGUGUGUUCCUUCAUUUUAUAAUCAUAGUCUACGUCAAUGAUUCAGUGUCACGUGAAGUUAAUGAUGAACGUACCUUGAAACGCAUUUUCACAUGAAGUAAAACAUAAAAUAUUGUAUAAUAAAGAUUAAAAAAUAAUAUAAUAUAAAAAAUAUAUGGUGAAAAUAGUUUAAAAUUAGGAUUUAAAGAAUAAUAAAGAUAAGAUAAAAAUAACAUUUUAGAUAAGAUUUAAAGAACAUUAAUGAUAGGAUGAAAAUAAAACUAAUAAACAUGGACAUAAAUACGUUUAUAAUCUUUUUUAGUUUCUUGUCAACCAUCUUAAUUCUUAGGUGAUAUUUUAUUAAAAAAAUAUACAUAUUCUUGAAGUAUAUCUCUAAAACUAUGGAACUAUGAAUCAUAGGUCUGAGAAUAUAUUUUCAAAAUAGGUAUAUGUAAUUUCAGAAUUACAUUUCAAGAAAACCAAAGGGGUAUACUUCUUUAAGAAGAAGACAUAAUAAUUAAUUGAGGUAAAAAAGGAAAUAAGGGAUGUACUUAAAAAAUGAGGAUGUAAAUAGCAAGAACCUAUCAUUUUCAUAAUAUUAUUUUAUCUUUAGGAAGGAAAAAAAAAUUCUUGAAGUAUAAUUUUGCAUUUUGAAUUCAUCAUUUCAUUUACGCGGCCUGUGCCUACUUUUCUUUGUGGUGAGCUUUCGUUGGUCAAAAUUAAGCAGGGUGUGGUGUAACAAUAUUGUGUAUUAUAAAAAUUAACUUCCAUAGUGUUUUGAACUGAAUAAAUAUUAGAUCGUGAACAUGGUUUUUUUUAAUUAGUGAACUGAUAUUAUGACUUGUCUUUAUUUAUCUCUCUAAUCUAGCUUUGAUAUAGACUAACGUACUAGGAUUAAAAUACCCGUUAAUCGCAAUACUCUCUUCUAAUAAAAUUUUGCUUAUGGGAAGAAAAGAUAAAUUAUUAAAUUAAGAAACCUUAUUAUUUAAUUUUGAGUGAAGUGAAGAUGAAUGGAAUAGGAAAAGUCCACAACAACAAGAUGACAAAAUGGGAGGUAAAGAUCCCAUGCUGCUCGUUUUCUUUCUACUCAUAAUAUUUAGUAAAACAACAACAGCCACAGAAGAUGCAUGCAUGGUACGUGCAUGUGCAAAAAUAACUCAUACUUUACAUUAAACAGAUCGAUAUGUAAUCUAAUAUAUAGGUACGUGCAGCAUGUGAUGAAGAAUUGCCGGGGAUAUGGUUAAUCAUAUCAUCACCUUCUGAAGCUCCCAUUAUGAGCAGAAGGUGCCUUUGUUGCUAUCACUCUUCCUGCAUAGUAGUGUUGCGAUCAGGCAGCUUGAGCACAGUGUAGGCACCUGCCCCACAUAGAGAUCCAAGUAUUGGAGCUGUGAGAUAGAUCCAUAUGCCCUUGUAGUUGUGUGCAGCAAUUGCUGGACCCAGUGUUCUAGCCGGGUUCAUUGAACUCCCAGUUGCUGCCCUUUAAUUAGUAGUACAUGAUAAUAAUUAAUUAGGGGACCAUUUUUUUUAUAAAUAAAUAAAAAAGAUUGGAUUAUGCCAAGAAUAAUUCAAAUUAUCGAAACAACUGCUAAACGUUUGCGUAAUACUAUAUCAUUUAACGACGUCAUAUCUUAUGUUCCUAGUGAUGCUUGUUGUAAUAUGUUUUAUAUUUUCUUUUAUGGAUAACCUUGCCCCCGAGCAAUUAGCAUAUUUGAAUAAUAAGAUGGGACAUAUAUAUACCCCGCCAUGAGUAUGUUGAUCAUGACAGUGGCUCCCACCACGAUUCCCGCGAACAAUCGCACCUGCACCAUAAUGAUUCCCGGGAACUCUCGCACCUGCACCAUAAUAUAACACGUCAAAUUAAAUCAACAGCAUUAUAAUGAUACGAUUUAGCUGUUAUCAAUAAUCUAUAUACUAUAAUAUAACAUAUAUAUACUUACUAAUUUGUUACAUAUAUUAAUGCACCUGUAUUAUUGCUAUAUAUUGUUCAAUUAUUCAUCAUAACAAUAUGUUAUGUUUCAAACAAACUAUGUUUAAUUUUUAUGGGUUGCAAUUAACGGCAAAGUUCCAAAUCCCUUUUGUUGUUUAGCUCAUAAACACACCAAACUGUAUGUUCAUGUUUAAUAUCGCAAAUUAACGAACAAAAAUAUGCGGAGAUUUAUUUUCCAUUAAUAACCCUCGUCUUGGAUACGUACCGCCCUCCUCUUGUCUGGGUAGGUAGACUCUUGCAUAUUUCAUCAGCAAUGAGAACCAAUUUCUGGCUCAACUACGGAAACUUACUCCCUACGUGCAUGCCUAAAAUCUUUUAAAAAUAAUUUUAUUUAUAACUUGUUUUCUUUAUGGUCUAUUUUUGGUGCAUGCACGAAUAUCAUGAGCUUCGUGGAUCUAGGUGGCAGGGCAUGAGGGCCUCCCAUGUAUUGUCGUUGACUUGUGUCCUUUUAAAAUUGAAAUCAUGUAUUAAUCGAACAAAACUUAAUAAUGAUCUGAUAUGACACAAAAGCAUAUAAAAACCUAGAAAUACACCAAAACGUUCUUCAGAGUUUACAGUAUCACUUAUCUCCUUCAAAUUAACACUUGUUUGACGUAAUUAAUUAAGCUUUGUCGAUCUCAGAACAUCCUUUUCACAUACUUCAACUGAUUCGGCUUAGUUACUUAAUUAUCAGAUGAAGAAAGUAGUGGUUAGUAGAGUAAAAUACUCACAACUCUUGUGCCGUCGGCCACUGCAGUGACAACGAACAUAAGAGUAAAGCUGACCAUGAACUCUGCAGCGAAAGCUUGCCCAUAUCCCACAGAAGGGACCGUCACUCCACCGCUCAUGAAUGGAUGAAAAAUUAACUUCAGAGCAAAUGCAGCACUCACUGAUGCCAAAACUUGUGCACCAAUAUACACAGGCACCUACAAAUUAGUAAUUCAGAAAAACCUUUAAUAUAUAGUAAUCAGAAAAUAACAAAUACUACAAAGCUUAAUCAAUUAGGUGCAGUUACUUAAUCAACAUUAUCUGGAUUUUUAUUGAAAGACAUUACCAGAAAGACCACCUACAUAUGUAUGUCACUAUACUGUUAUUUAAUUUGUCCAAAAAAAUGAAGGAAAAUUAAUUAAUCAAGGCUUCAUUUUGAAUUACAUUCUUCCACGGCAUGUGCUUUAUUACAGCAAAGGAGAUGGUGACAGCGGGGUUGAGAUGAGCUCCGGAGAUGUGGCCUAUGGAGCAUAUGAUUAUCAUCACAGUAACUCCACUAAUUACUGCACAUCCCACCACUGAUCCUUGUGACUUCUCUUUUUCAAUUGCAGCGCCUAUUGCCGCAGACAUGAGAAGGGAACGUGCCCAGAAACUCUGCUCCAACCUGGUUUAAUUUAAAGUCAACUCAACAACAUUAAUUCACGCAUAUCAUUUUGCUGGAUAAAAAAACUUAGCUUAGUGUAAUUUUGAAUAUACCUUUCUUCCGAGACUAAUGUCCAUUUCUUUGUUGAUCUCUAAAUGGUAAGUAAACUGAAAUCAAGUAAAGGGUUGAUAGAUAAGACAAGAAAAACUAUAUUAGACUAAACAGGUAAAGAGAGAAAAAGAGAAAAAAAGAGAGAAAGUUAAUCCGCAGCAAUAAUAGCAAACAGUCAAAGGGACGCAAAGUUAUCAUCAGCAGCUUCAGAGUUUUGAUUGCCAAUUUUCUUAGUUAAUCCGCCGUUCACUGAGUUAUUAACAAAAUUUCUCGAAGUAUCACAAACAAUAGUCACCAAACCCCUAAAUCAGACACAAGAACAACCACAUUUGGCUAGCAAACAGAUAAACCCUCGAACAAUGCGUCUCUUAGCACAUGAGAAGUUGAACUUACAGUUUGAGAGUGAAACGAUCGGCGCAGUAAAAGUGAGAAAUGAGAAAGGCAAGCACUAGUUGAUUUGGGUGUGUGCGAGCGAGAGAAAAAUGAGCAGCUGUGUCGACGCUGUACAGGUUUAACGGAAAGCCUAUAUAUAGAUGUUGAAAAAAAUUAUAAAAACAGGGCAUGAGGGCCUCCUUCGUGUUUCAUGCACGUUUAUCAUGAGCUUGGUGGGUGGCAGGGCAUGAGGGCCUCCUUCGUGGUUCACGUUUAUCAUGAGCUUGGUGGAUCUAGUGUAAUAGCUUUCUUGAUUUGGAGAAAGUGUAUGAAAGUGGCAUGGGUUGUGCUUUGCUAGUUUCUAGCAUCAGCAGCUUUCAUUUCCCUUUUGUUUCAAACAAACUAUGUUUAAUUUUUAUGGGUUGCAAUUAACCGGCAAGGUUCCAAAUCCCUUCUGUUGUUUAGCUCAUAAACACACCAAACUGUAUGUUCAUGUUUAAUAUCGCAAAUUAACGAACAAAAUUAUGUGGAGAUUUAUUUUCCAUUAAUGAAGAAGGGUUCUCUAGCAAUAGACCAGAAGAUAGAGCAUUCAAUUUAUGUCAUGAAUUAUGCGAUUUGAGUUCUGAAAAUCACCCUGGAAUCCGCCUUACUUUGAUGCUGAAAAUAUAAAGAAAAUAGGCCUCAGUGCCCGUUGCACCAGUGGGAAUUUGAUAUGUAUAGCACCUUUGAUUGACUGAUUGCACCCCAAGUAAUAAUAAAUUAAUAGAAAAAGUAUAUUCCACCUUACUUUCAUAUCCAAAUAUUUAUUUUAAACUUUAUUAUAUUUUUAGUUCAUUAAAUUAAAAGGUAUAUUGCACCCCAAGUAAUAAUAACUUUAUAGAAAAAAUAUAUUCCACCUUACUUUCAUAUCCAAAUAUUUAUUUUAAACUUUAUUAUAUUUUUAGUUCAUUAAAUUAAAAGGUAUAUGUCCUUCAAAUAAAAAUUUAUAUUUUUUUAGUUCCUUAAAUUUAUAAUAAAAUACUUUUUUAGUCUUUUCAAAUUGAGUUUUUUUAUAGUUUAGAUACAUAAUUUGUGGAGUUUUUUUUAAUAGAAGGACUAAUCAAACAUUUUGUAAAAUUGGGUGAAUAAAAAAUAUAAAUUUUUAUCUGAAAACUUGAAAAAGAUACCUCAAAGGAUUAAAAAAUAUAUUAAAAUUUUUAUUUUAAUACCAAAAGCAAAAUCCUUGUACUAUGAUUGCUAGUUCGUUAUAAAAUUAAAAUAUAAAACGGUAUUACAUUUGUAUUUUAAAAUAAAACGUGAUCCCUAAGGAAUUGAUAUUAUUAAUUGACAAUUAUUGUGUACUUUUGGUUUUUUCACGUUAAUCCCAGUGAUGAAGAAUGAGAUAUACUCUAAGAAAAAGAGAAUAGGUUGUAGAGAAAAAAAGAGAAGAUUAUAUUUCUUCAAAUAAAUUUUUAUAUUUAUAAUUUUUUCCUCUUUUAUAAAAGUUAACAUUGCUUUUUUUAUCUCUUUUAAAUGAGAUAUUUAUAUUUACUUGCGAAAAGUUUUGCUUAAAAUCUCAAAGAUCAAUUAUGAAAGAUGACUGAUUUAAAAAAAAAACAUAAAAAAUAUUAAAGAGUUUAACUCAAUUAUUUAAGGGUGAUACAUACGUUAUUGUAAACUCUCACAUUAUUUAUGUUUGAUGUGAUAAAAACAAACAUGAAAAAAAAAACUAUAUUUAUAGUAUCGAUCAUGUUGUACUUAGACAAAGGUCUUUGGUGCCAAACUUUAUCUUAUGUUGCUGCAUGGUGAUACUUUGUCAGCGCUGUAUAUUAUGUCUUUUUGCGUAAGGUUCUUUCCCGCAAUGUUUAUACUCUAGAUUUUUUUUAAGAUACUACUUGGUUGGCACCUGUCUUACACUUUAUCGCACAUAUUAAACAGUAUUAUUAAACUGCAUCAUAACACUGAACCUUUAAUAUUGAAUAUUAAUAAUAAAUAAUAAAAAUAUGACAUGUAAAGGUGACAAGCAAAAACUAAUAUACUUGUAGCAUUUCUAUUCUUGCAAAAUUAUGUUGAACGACUAAUUAAUUAAAAUGAUUUUAUGGAAAAUUUCACAUGUUUAGUUAACCAAAAUCAAUUUUGGCAUCUCUUGUCCAAACACAUACUUACUCCUCUCUCAGGAAAUAAAUUAAAUGCCUCAAUUUCUUUUAAGCGAAACUGUUAUUUAUGAUCACAAAUGUAUUGUUAAGUAGAUAGCUAAUUAGAAUUAGGUGACAUUGAAUUUGACAUGACACAUGAUGUUAGAUAAGUUAUUAUAAUGAUAAAACUAGACUAUUAUAUAUUUUGUCAUGUUACUUGUAUCACAUCUUCACAUAAAACAUUGGCAUAAAUCAGGGAAUGAUUAAUUUCUACUUUCUUUUAAGUACCAAGAAAAGUUUACAGUGAUGUAAUCCUGAAAUGGUAUGAGAAAUGUGAGGUGUUUCUCGAAAUUCUUAUAACCUUUUCCUUUCUAGAGGGUUGGAUCCAACCUCAUUUUAUUGUUGAUUGUCACAACAGCUAACACAAAGUGUUGUACACAAACAAAUGAGGCCACAUGAUUGGCUUGCAUUGCCGAAACACAUGUUGUGAUACCUAGCUAACAAAGAAUUCCUUUACAUUUGAUGGAUAACUAAUAACAUAAUAACUUUUGAGAUUGUUUAACUCUUUUGUUUGUGCUCACGUUGGUUUGGAAUCAAAUGCUUGACAAAAAAGUAUAAUGACAAGAAAAGGAUAAUAAAAAUGGUUUAAGAGAAAUGUGUUUAGUUUAAGAGGAAUGAAUAAAUAAAUAAAAAUGGUUUAUUCAAUUAAAAUAAUUUAUUUUCAAAAUGUAAAGAUCGAUUAUAAAAAAUGUAUAAUCAAUUUUUCACAAAAAAAACUGUAUAAACAAUUGUAGGACAUGAAAAUCAAUUUUCAAGUUUUCAAAAUCGAUUUUCAUAUGAGUGUUUACUGAUAUGGUUGGAGGUAUAUAAUUAAAUUAAAGUAUAAUGGGAUAAUUAAGUACUAGCUUUCUCUUAAAAUUAUCUGUUUCUGUACUAUUGUGUUUACUAAGUCUAAUUUACCUAUAAAUCCAUUUAGAAGAUCUUCUUGCUUAUAUUUUCAGUAUGAAUCAAUAUAAUAAAAGUAAUAAGAAUUUAAGAAUUUAUCCAUUUGCAACCUAUCAUAUAACAUGAGAACAUCUAGCGAUAACUCAAACAUAACUACUUAUUUUCACGACAAUACAAAUCACACCACCAUGUACUUCAAGGAAGUGUAAAUCUGAAUAUGACAGAAGAGAUAUAAGUAAACACGUGCCUAUGACUCAUUUGUAAUCAUAUUGCUACAUACUAUAACAUGUCUAAGAUCUAAUGCGGAGUGGAGAAAGUUAGGCCAAAAGUAAAGACAAAGUAGCUUCAAUAAUGUUAUUUCAAAUGAGUUGAUGAGAGUGGCUUUUGGACAAGUCAUAGCAUAUUUGAUUUGAAUUAUGUCCAAUUCUACGGUGAUAAUCAACUGUGGUUUGGAUCUGUGCUGAAUUUAUUCAUCAUAGGAUACAAAUAAACAACAAUAAGUUAUAUGCAAGAAUUUCUAUCUGGAUUUGUUAAUGAUUUCCAAUCAAACUAUUAUGUCAAGGACUAAAGGCUACCACUGCAAAAGCAUUAAAAAAUAAAAAAAAAUUCUAUGUUGCAUACUUUUUCUAAAAGCAAAUUCUGUCAGCCUUUUUUUUUUUUUUCUCUAGAAUGCGUUAGCAGUGUUUUUUUUUAUUAAAACAACAACAACAGCCACAGAAGAUGCAUGCGUGAUAAGUGCAUGUGCAAAAAUCACUCAUUCUGGGUAAAGUCUUGCUAUCACUCUUGCAGUGUUGCGAUCACUCUUCCUGAUGUGAUCAGGCAGCUUGAGCACAGUGUAGGCACCUGCCCCACAUAGAGAUCUUGUAGUUGUGUGCAGCAAUUGCUGGACCCAGUGUUCUAGCAGGGUUCAUUGAACUCCCAGUUGCUGCCCUUUAAUCAGUAGUACAUGAUAAUAAUUAAUUAGGGGACCAUUUUUUUAUAAAUAAAUAAAAAAAAGAUUGGAUUAUUCCAAUAAUAAUCCAAAUUAUCGGAACAACUGCUAAACGUUUGCGUAAUACUAUAUUAUUUAACGACUUCAUAUAUUAUGUUCCUAGUGAUGCUUGUUGUGAUAUGUUUAUAAUUUCUUUUAUGGAUAACCUGGCCCGCGAGCAAUUAGCAUAUUUGAAUAACGAUACGAUUUAUCUGUUAUCAAUAAUCUAUAUACUAUAAUAUAGCAUAUAUAUACUUACUAAUUUGUUACAUAUAUUAAUGCACCUGUGUUAUUGCUAUAUAUUGUUCAAUUAUUCAUCAUAACAAUAUGUUUUUUAAAAUCUUUUUGAUUAACUCACGUUUUUAAAAAAAAGUUAAUUAAUUACACUAUCAUUCUAAAAUUAUAUUUUCCUUAUCUCUUAAUCUAUUUCAUUACUUUAGAAAGAUAAUAAUUGAAUAAAGAUAUACAAUAUAGGAAAAAAAAUUAAUAUUCUAGAAAUUAAAAAAAAUUAUAAAAAAACAAACAAAUUUUUAAAAAUAAUUUUAUUUAUAACUUUUUUCUUUAAAUGAAUGCUCCGUUUUCUUUAUGGUCUAUUCUUGGUUCAUGCACGAAUAUCAUGAGCUUCGUGGAUCUAGGUGGCAGGGCAUGAGGGCCUCCUCCUAUGUAUUGUCGUUUACUUGUGUCCUUUUAAAAUUGAAAUCAUGUAUUAUUAAUCGAACAAAACUUAUCAUCUGAUAUGACACAAAAGCAUAUAAAAACCUAGAAAUAGACCAAAACGUUCUUCAGAGUUUACAGUAUCACUUAUCUCCUUCAAAUUAACACUUGUUUGACGUAAUUAAUUAAGCUUUGUCGAUCUCAGAACAUGGUUUUUACAUACUUCAACUGAUUCCGCUUAGUUACUUAAUUAUCAGAUGAAGAAAGUAGUGGUUAGUAGAGUAAAAUACUCAGUUCUUGUGCCGUUGGUCACUGCAGUGACAACGAACAUAAAAAUAAAGCUGACAAUGAACUCAUGUGAUUAGUUUAUUUUUUUAAUUUGAAAUUAAGAUGUUAAAAUAUAGGAAAUUAAGGUAUCCUAUGAAGUGGGAUUUGGUUGGUUUAUAUGCAUCAUGUGAUUAGUUUACACUGAUGACUGGUUGCAGUGUAGUGUAGUAGCGUGAACAUUAUUAGAUGAAGAUAGUGUAGUAGCAUGAGUAUUAUUGGAUGAAGAUAACAUAAUGCAAAAGAGAGAGAAAGAAAAGUUGCAAGUUGGUGACUGGUGCUACUCUGGAAUAGCUUUCUUCAUUUGGAGAAAGUGUAUGGAAGUGACAUGGAUUGUGCUUUGCUAGUUUCUAGCAUCAGCAGCUUUCAUUUCCCUUUUGUUUCAAACAAACUAUGUUUAAUUUUUAUGGGUUGCAAUUAACCGGCAAGGUUCCAAAUCCCUUCUGUUGUUUAGCUCAUAAACACACCAAACUGUAUGUUCAUGUUUAAUAUCGCAAAUUAACGAACAAAAAUAUGAGGAGAUUUAUUUUCCAUUAAUGAAGAAGGGUUUUCUAGCAAUAGACCAGAAGAUAGAGCAUUCAAUUUAUGUCAUGAAUUAUGGGAUUUGAGUUCUGGAAAUCACCCUGGAAUCCGCCUUACUUUGAUGCUGAAAAUAUAAAGAAAAUAGGUUGCAGUGAGAACCAUUUUUGGAUUUUUUUUAUUCAAGUGGUACGUACCGCCCUCCUCUUGUCUGGGUAGGUAGACUCUUGCAUAUUUCAUCAGCAAUGAGAACCAAUUUCAGGCUCAACUACGGAAACUUACUCCCUACGUGCAUGCCUAAAAAAAAGUUAAUUAAUUACAUUAUCAUUCUAAAAUUAUAUUUUCCUUAUCUCUCAAUCUAUUUCAUUACUUUAGAAAGAUAAUAAUUGAAUAAAGAUAUACAAUAUAGGAAAAAAAUUAUAAAAAAACAAACAAAUUUUUAAAAAUAAUUUUAUUUAUAACUUGUUUUCUUUAAAUGAAUGCUCCGUUUUCUUUAUGGUCUAUUUUUGGUGCAUGCACGAAUAUAUCAGCUUCUUGGAUCUAGGUGACAGGGCAUGAGGGCCUCCUAUAUAUUGUCGUUGACUUGUGUACUUUUAAAAUGGAAAUCAUGUAUUAAUCGAACAAAACUUAUCAUCUGAUAUGACACAAAAGCAUAUAAAAACCUAGAAAUAGACCAAAACGUUCUUCAGAGUUUACAGUAUCACUUAUCUCCUUCAAAUUAACACUUGUUUGACGUAAUUAAGUAAGCUUUGUCGGUCUCAGAACAUCGUUUUCGCAUACUUCAACUGAUUCGGCUUAGUUACUUAAUUAUCAGAUGAAGAAAGUAGUGGUUAGUAGAAUAAAAUACUCACAACUCUUGUGCGGGUGGCCACUACAGUGACAACGAACAUAAGCAUAAAGCUGACAAUGAACUCUAUAGCGAAAGCUUGCCCAUAUCCCAUUGAAGGGACCGUCACUCCACCGCUCAUGUACGGAUGAAAAAGCGCCUUCAGAGCAAAUGCAGCACUCACUGAUGCCAAAACUUGUGCACCAAUAUACACAGGCACCUACAAAUUAAUAAUUCAGAAAAACCUUUAAUAUAUAGUAAUCAAUGCAAGAAAAUAACAAAUACUACAAAACUUAAUUAAUUAGGUGCAGUUACUUAAUCAAAAUUAUCUGGAUUUUUAUUGAAAGACAUUACCAGAAAGACCACCUACACAUGUAUGUUACUAUACUGUUAUUUAAUUUGUCCAAAAAAAUGAAGGGAAAUUAAUUAAUAAAUUAACACUUAAUUUUGAAUUACAUUCUUUCCAGGGAAGUGCUUUAAUGCAGCAAAGGAAAUGGUGACAGUGGGGUUGAGAUGAGUCUCAGAGAUGUUUCCUGUGGAGAAUAUGAUGAUCAUGACAACAAAUCCACGUAUCUUUACAUUCUCAAUUGCAGAAGAACUGAUGAGUAGGUGGAAACUGAUGAGUUAGGCACAAAGGAAAAGAAGAACUAACUUGUAUGUGGAAGUGGAGUGUGACAAUACAAUAUGGGAUUUGUUAGCGGCCCAUAAUGGGUCAAUCAAUAUGUUUUCCUCCUCUCUUAAGGGAAAAGAUAAACACGAGUGGAAAAAUACAUGAAUGGUUGAAACUGAUGGCAGUUAGGUACAAAGAAAAGAAAAAAGAGGUAGCUGUUUACUUAUGAGGACGUGUUUUGUGUGGGAAAAUACACGGGUUUAGGAAAUUGAUGACAGUUAGGUACAAAGAAAAAGAGGAGGUAGUUAUUUACUUGUACGUGGAAGUAGAGUGUGACAAAUGCAAUAUGGGAUUUGAAAAAGCGGCCCUUAACGUCAGACAUCAAUCAUUAUAUGUACCAUUCAAUGUGCCUUCUGUUAUUUUUUCUAAUCCAUCUUGGCCAUGUUAUUGGAGUCCAAGUGCGAGUAACAAGUCAAACAUUGGAAAAAAAUAAACACAAUAUUGAUCAACAUAUAAGUGAAAAUGACUUACAAACCGUAUGCAUUAUGGCUUUAGAUUAGACGUGGUGUCAAGUUGAUUCAUGUAAUUUUCUUGUGGCUCAUCUAUAGAUAUCUCAAUGUUAUUUUAAUCAUUGUAUUCCCAAACAAAGGGCAUCGAGACAAAUGGUGCCCUCAUGGAGGAACUUUGUUUAUGAAGAAUUUCAAUGUUUUUCUUUUAUUAGCGGAUAUAAAUUUGUAACUUGUUUGAAAUUUAUUAAUCAAUCACUUUUAAUAAAAGAAAUGAAAUGUAAAUCUGAGUUUGAAUUUGUGAGAUUAGAGUGUUAGCUUUUCAAUGUAAAAGAGAUUAAAUAAUAAUAUGGUAAGACAUGUUUUUGUUCUCUAUAAAACUUCUGAAGUUUACUUUUAGUCUAUUAAAAAAAAUUGGUUUAUUUUUUGUCCUUCUAAUUAUAUAAUGUAUCAUUUUUAUCCCCUCAAGUAUUAUUUAAACCACUUUUCGUCUCUCUAUAAAGUACUAUCUAAGCCACAUUAAAGAUAAAAAGUGGUGCGUUUCAAUAUUAGAAAGACAAAAAAAUGGACAAAUUUUUAGAAGGACUAAAACCAAACAUUAGAAAUUUGUGAGAUCAAAGACAUACUCUACAAAAAGAUAAAUCACAAAGUGGCAAGGGUCAAAUAAAAAAUAUAAAACUUUUAUUUCAGGUGAAUUUUACCCAUAGUUUACCUUCUAUUUAAAUGUUUGUGCUAUUUAAAUUUUUCUUUGAACCAAACUAUAUGGCUGUCGAAACAAUUAUGGUAAUGCAAUAGUUAAGAGUAGUUAGUUACAUAAUAAUUAAUUACAAGUCAUCUGGUAUGAUUUAUAAAAUAAUCAUUAUAAAAAUCAAUAAAUUUAUAAUAUAAUAUGAGGUUUAUGAUUGAGUAAUAAUGUAAAAAAAAUUAUUUUAUCCGUAUAUAUACUAUUUACUCUAUUUUGUGUUCAUUUCUUUUAUUUCUUUCUAUUAUUUUUAGGGUCUUAUUUUUCUAUUUUAAAAUGUAAAUAAUAACUUUUCUUAUUUAUACUAUAUAGUAUGAAUAUCCAAAUAGUAGAACAGAGACUGUAAUAUAUGUUUUAUCUUAUUUUAUUUUAUUUUCAUUUUAUUUCAACUUAAGUUCCACAUAUAUGAUUUAUAUUAACAUGCAUGCCAUUAGUUUGAGUACUGAAACUAAAUUCAUAUCGUUUAAUUAAGAUGUUAAAUUUGAAUCUUGUAAAUAAAUAAAAAUUUGAUUGAGAGAAGAAAUUUUCCUUUUUUAUAUAUAAAAGAAAAAUUCUUACUAAAGUGAUUUGAUCUAAAUUGUAUUGUAAAACAUAUAUGAUUGAGAGAAAACUAGCUACAUUUUGCAAUAGAAAUUAGGCAUUUUAGAAAGUAAAUAUUUACAUCAGUAAGAGGGAAAAAAACUUCAUGCCUAUAUUAUUUAUUAGAUUCAUUAGUUAGCUGGAGGAGUAGUUAAGUCACCCUCAACUUUAUUCAAAUUAAUUUCCUAUAGAUCAUUGGACUUGCAGUGUUAAUGAUCUGAUUUGACGUCAACAUAAUUUAAAUUGAUCCGGUGCAGGUGAUGAUUUGGUCUGAAUUGUAUUAUUAUUCAAUUGCGUUCUUUCCGAAAAUAAUUUCAUAAACUUUUCAUAUCAUUAAAAUUGAUGCACAUUUGCUUUUUUAUUCUAAUUGCACAUUUGGUUUAUUCAUACAUGGUUAAGAAAUUUCAUUGUUAGGUGGUUAAGGGUAGUUAGUUACAUAAUUGGUCAAGUGAUUAGGUUAAAUGGAUGGACAAGAGUGGAAGGAGAUUUCAUUCUCAAUAGUUAGUAUUAAGAAAACUGAGCAUUAUCUCAAUUGUAGAAUGGGAAACCCCUGGACGGAGUAUUAACAUCAUAUUUGCCGUGUUGUGAUCUGAAUCUAUAUGCAUUUCUUCCUUAAUACUUCCUAAUUUAUCUUUCCUUUCUUUUGUCACUUCACAUAGAGGAUGAAAUUGAUGAUAUCCAGAAGGUAUAAAUCUUGUAAAUUACAUGUACUUGAUAUUUGUUGUACCCAAAUUUUUACAUUUUUAUUCUGUUCAAUAUUUUCAGGAAAUUUCUGUUCUGUCCCAAUGUCGAUGUCCAUACAUUACUGAAUAUUAUGGUUCCUAUCUCAAUCAAACUAAACUUUGGAUAAUAAUGGAAUACAUGGCUGGUGGCUCAGUUGUUGAUCUAGUAGGCAAAGGCUGCUCGUGACAGAAAUUCAAAUGCCUCAAUUAACCGAUGUAGAAUGUAACUUCUCUAGUAGUGACACAUUAAUUAAACAUAUUUGUUUAAAAAGUAAAUUACACUAAUCGUUCCUAAAAUUUUGUGAAAUUACAUAAAUUUUCUCUACUUGUAUGUACUCCUACACUAAACCCUUAAUUUUAUGAAAAUAUAUAUCAAUACACCUUAUACAUUACAUUAACCGCCCUUAAUUGCUUGAAAAACAUUACGCCAUCCUCCCCUACAAGGGAGGUUUUUGUAAAUAUUAAAAAUUGAGAAAAACUUUAUGUACACCAAAUCUCAUGGAAUGCUAAUUACUGUAUUUUACUAUAGUUUAAAAUUAUAGUUAAAUAUUUAUGGAGUGUGUGCUAACUUGUCUUAAGGAAUUUGUGUACAAACAAAACUUGUUCCUUAAUUUUAAACUUUGGAGGUCAUUUUCAAAGUGUACGCAUAUAAAAAAAGUAUUAAAAAAAUUAUAGAAAGAUAAUAAUUGUAUAUAAUAAAAUAGAUUAUAUUAAUUAUUUCGUAUUCAAAAAGAAUUAUUUGUUUGAUCAUUUUUUUAUUGCUGACAUUUAAGAGUGAAUUAAAGUAAGAAAACUUUCAAUUUGUAACCCGUGUUUAAGACUGGUGCAUAUUGUACUACCAACUAUAGACCUGGUCUGAUACCACAUUUACUAUUGGUAGAGCGUAAAUCAAGGUUAUAACUUAGUGGAUUAGCAUAAAAUUUGUCAAAAAUAGGUCAUAUAAGCUAACCAUAUACACAAUGUGGCCUUUACAUUCCCUCUCUCCCUUUCUUAUUUUAGAAAAUAUGAUUUUUAACGUUUUAACAAACCACAAAUUGCAUUUGAAUGAUUCAAUUGUAUUAGCUGUUCAAUACCAUUUUUUGUAUGCAUAAAUAACACUUUACAUUGCAUCCCUAAACUACAAAAACGUAUUCUUUGAGGGAAUUUGACAAAAAAGUAGCCACUGCCCCAACGAUCCCAUUUCCCUUGACUUCUCUACGUGAAGCUCCUUGUUUUGCAUAGUAUGUGCAUAAAUUAAUAUACAAGUUAAUUUGAGGAAUACAAUAUAUUUAUAUGUUAUGUAAAUGUGACUUUCUUAUUAUUAGAUUUUGAUCUUUAAAAAAAUUAAUUUUGUUUAUUUCGAUCUUCAACAAAAUCAUUAUAUUUCAAAUAGUGUCUAUAGUUACUUGAUGAUGAUGUUAAAUGCAUUUAGUUAUACCGUGUUACAUGUCACAUCAAAAUGGUUGGUGGUGCGACAUGAGUAGCUGCAUGACAUUUUAUAACCAAGCGCAUUAUAUGAAGUUUUUUUCAACAAUUGUAGAGAUAAAAACAAAAGAAAAAAGAAUCAAAAUCAAACAAGCCAUGUUUAGAGUUUAAAAACAUGCCCAUUCUUAAAUAGUGUAUAGGAAUAUUAUGGUCAUAUUACUUGUCACAUUAACUAAUUUUACAGUAAUACUCAUUAAUGACAGGGAGCUAGUUGAAAUGUCCGAGGGAAAUGCAGGGAAAGGAAAGAAAAUCGCCAUCAUUGGUGUCUCAACCUUAUUGUUGGUGGCUAUGGUUGUGGCGGUCACAAUUGGGGUCAAUCUCAAUGAGAAUGGUUCCAACAAUGAUAUAGAGGACAACAAGAAAGAUCAUGUUGCUUCUUCCAUAAAAGCCGUCCAAACCCUUUGUCAUCCCACAAAUUAUGAGAAAGAAUGCGAGGAAAGCCUUAUAGCUGGGGCUGGAAAUACCACAGAUCCAAAAGAACUUAUCAAAAUUUUCUUCAACAUCACCAUUACAAAAAUUGGUGAUAAACUCAAAGAAACUAAUAUUUUGCAUGAGGUUGAGGAGGAACCCAGAGCCAAGAUGGCACUUGACACUUGCAAGCAACUCAUGGAUCUUUCUAUUGGGGAAUUAACAAGGUCACUUGAUGGAAUAAAUGAGUUUAACCUCAUAAAUGUUGACAAAAUCCUCAUGAAUUUAAAAGUUUGGCUUAGUGGUGCGGUUACAUACCAAGAUACUUGCUUGGAUGGGUUUGAGAACACCACUAGUGAUGCUGGCAAAAAGAUGAAGGAUUUGUUGACGAUAGGCAUGCAUAUGAGCAGCAAUGCCCUUGCCAUUGUAACAGAUUUGGCUGACACUGUUAACGAUUGGAAUAUCACAAAAUCAUUUGGGCGUCGCCUCCUUCAAGAUUCUGAGCUUCCGUCAUGGGUUGAUCAACAUAGACUCCUUAAUGAAAAUGCAAGUCCAUUAAAACGCAAGCCUAAUGUUACUGUAGCCAUAGAUGGUAGUGGAGAUUUCAAAAGCAUCAAUGAGGCAUUGAAGCAAGUGCCGGAGAAAAACCGAAAGCCAUUUGUGAUCUACAUCAAGGAAGGCGUUUACCAAGAGUAUGUUGAAGUUACAAAAAAAAUGACCCAUGUGGUGUUUAUUGGUGAAGGGGGGAAAAAGACACGAAUAUCUGGUAACAAAAACUUCAUAGAUGGAACGAACACUUAUAGAACUGCCACUGUCGGUAUGUCUCUUUUCGUGAUUAUCAACUUAAUUAACUUACUACUCCUAUGCAUUUGAGUAAAAAAAAAAACUUAAUAACUUAUCCAAUAAAUUUAUUAAAUGAAACCUUAUUCAUGACUCAGACUGUGAAGCUUACCAAAAUGAGAUUAAAAAAAACUAAAUUUAUUACUCAUGUGCAUUUGGGUAAAAAAAACAUAAUUAAAAACUUAUUCAAUAAAUUUAUUAAAUGAAACCUUAUUCUUGAGUCAAACUUUGAAGCUUACUAAAAUGAGAUUAAAAAAACUAAAUUUGAUAAGUUUCUCCAUAAAACUCUUAAGUUUAUAAAAAUAUCAUAUGUCAUGUUCUUCAACUUGAAUAAACUCUUUGAAAAGUCCUUUCCUUACUUAACAUUUUAAGGUCCAUAGUUUUUAUUUGAAAACACCUUUAACCCGCCCCAAAAUGAAUAAAUUAAUAAAAGAUACAUUUACAAAAUUUAAAAAAUAAAAAUAUAAACCAUUUUCAAUUCAAGGGAAAUUUUUCAUUCGAAUAAAUAAAUUAACUACUUUACGCAUGCAGCUAUUCAAGGAGAUCACUUUGUGGCCAUCAAUAUGGGGUUUGAGAAUUCUGCUGGACCUCAUAAGCAUCAAGCGGUGGCAUUGAGAGUCCAAGCAGACAAGUCCAUCUUUUACAAUUGCUCAAUGGAUGGGUAUCAAGACACACUUUAUGCACACACCAUGCGUCAAUUCUAUAGAGAUUGCACCAUUUCAGGUACCAUCGACUUUGUGUUCGGUAAUGCACUAGCUGUUUUUCAAAAUUGCACUUUCGUGGUCCGAAAGCCAAUGGAGAACCAACAAUGCAUUGUGACUGCACAAGGUAGAAAAGAGAUACAACAACCAUCUGGAAUAGUAAUCCAAGGGGGAUCCAUUGUGUCUGAUCCUGAAUUCUACUCAGUGAGAUUUGAGAACAAGGCUUACCUAGCUCGUCCAUGGAAGAAUUACUCUAGGACCAUUAUCAUGGACACAUACAUUGAUGAUUUGAUUGACGCGGAUGGGUAUUUGCCAUGGCAAGGACUAGAGGGUCCUUCUGGUAUGGAUACUUGCUUCUAUGCCGAGUACCACAACAUUGGCCCUGGUUCAGACAAAUCCAAGCGUGUGAAAUGGGCUGGGAUUUGGAACCUCAAUUCAAAAGCAGCACGUUGGUUCUCACCAUCUAAGUUUUUUCAUGGAACUGAUUGGAUUGAGGUUACUGGAAUUCCUUACUUUCCUGGCGUGCCGAAACACCAUAGGCACAAAAAGACAAUACUUAAUUGGCAAUAAAAGUAAUGAGUUGCGAAAGCAAGCAAUAUAAAUUAAUUAAAAAGUAAUGAUUGUGCUUCUUUAUUCUUUAAUUAUUUUUAUUUCAUUACUUAACUUUAGAGUUAGCUACAUUUUUUUAUCUCAAGGAAUUGAAAUCAAUGUAACACAAUUCCUCUCUUGAUAACUUUUUGUUUAGUGGAUAAUAAAUGGGUCUUCUAUAUAUUCUUCAUUACAUUUGCAUCUAAUUUGAUUUUUACGUAAGUAAAGUGAUUUGUUGCUAUGUACUUUUAAUUGUUACAUUGUUGGCCUUUUCUUUUUCACCUUCAUUUAUCAAAAUAAAAUUAUGAUGAAGCAUUUACAUAUUGGUGAAUUUAAUCAACACGACUACUUAAAUUUAACUCAUUGAAUGUGCUGUUUAAGUUUUAUUAAUCUUGUCACAAGUCUUUAUUGUAUUCUAUAUAGAUAAAAAAAUAAGUAAAAAAAAUGACAUGGAUAAAAAAUAAUAUUUCAAACAAAUAAUUAAUGAGAUUUUAUUAUAAAUGAAGUAUAUCCGUAUCAAAGCCACUAGAUUUGAACCUUAGUGUGAUCAUUGUACAUAAAAAAAAAAAUAUCAAUGUGUCAUAUUAUUUUAUGACAACAUUGUUUGUGCAAGCUACAUUAUUAUUAAGAAAUUAUAUAUAUAUAUAUAUAUAUAUAUAUAUAUAUAUAUAUAUAUAUAUAUAUAUAUAUAUAUAUAUAUAGGUUUCAAGGACAUUAAGCUUAAGCUUACCUACAUCUAUAAAACAUUUUCCUCUUGACUUGUCCAUCAAUACAAUUUAAAUUUUUAUUAAUUUAACCAAUAAAAAAAUACAUUAAAAAGGUAUUUCUAGCACUACUCUUAAAUACAAUGACAAGGAAAGAAACCAAGUUACUCAAGUUGUUAUUCGCUAGGUAGGUAAUAUUACAUCCCAUUUAGAAGAGAAAUUUUAGCUAAGAUAUUGUUAAUACUAUUAUUAACUGAAAUUUUUUAGAAAUUAUAAAAUUAUUUAAUUUUUGUUAAAUUACAAUUUUUCUUACCUUCAUUUUCCAAAUUCAUGAUUUUGGUCUUCCUGAUUUUUAAUUUUAAAAUUUGAUCUUCCAAAUUUUGUAAAUUUAUAAUUUUGGUCAUCCUUAUAGAAUAUUAAACUAAUAAUUAUGAUUAACAGAUUUAUUAAAUUAACUAUAAAUUAAAUAAAAAUUAUUAAUCAUUAAAAAAUUUUAACAAAUGAUUAUUAACUCUAAUGUGAUAUUGUUGCUAGUGGAUUCCUAUGUGAUGAUAGAGGUGAAAUAAGUAUACACCGUGUUGUGAAGGAUCAAGGUUAAUAAUUUUUAUUAAAAUUUUAAUAAUUAAUGGGUUUUAAUUAAUUUAUAAUUAAAUUAAUAACAGUUUAAUCAAAAUUAUUUAUUAAUAAUCUAUCUGUGGAACCAAAAUCAUCAAUUUAUAAAAAUAAAAAAACUAAAUGUUAUAAUUAAAAAUCAAGACGACCAAAAGCAUAGAUUUAAAAAAUAGAAGAAGAACAAAAAUUAUAAUUUAACCUUUAAUUUUUAUUAUUUAUUUAAUAAAUCUCAUUAUUGAUUUUUAAACUUUUAAUGAAUUUAAAAUAGAAGGACUAAAACUCUCUCUUAUUUAAGUUUUAAAAUUUAAAAUUAUAAAAAUAAGAAAAUAAAUAAUUUUUAAAAAUUUCUUUCCUUUCCUGCUUAAUUAAAUAAAGCAUUUAAUUAAAAUCUCUUUUCUCUCUUCGAUUUAGAUCGCUCACAUUCCUUCCUGAAAUCAUUGUUUCGGUUUUAUUUCUUCUUAAUAUGAAUUAGUAACCAUGCGGCCAAAACCUCAUAAAUUAUAUCAUUCACCAAGAAACUCAAUAUAUUUUAUUUGGAUUUUCAAGAUAAUUUUCUCUUGUUUGAAACGGUAAAAAUUUAAAGAAAGAAAACUCAACACAAAUCUCACCUCUAAAUGUUUUCCAGCCCCCCACCAUGCCAAAAUAUCCUGGCAGGCAGUGGCUAGGGGCAUAUUUUGAGGAAAAUAGUUUAUCGUGCUGGUUUCACCUCCUCUCAAAAGAUAACUACAUAAAAUACAAGUUUUCUAUAAGAAUGGUUUAGUGAGAGAAUUUAAGGAUAAAGGGUGAAGGAGAAAAGAAGAAGAGAUUGUAAUGGUAAAUCUCUUAUCAACAUUUUUAACAAAAACUAACAAAUGAACAUCUGUUCAUAAAAAAAUCAUAAACUACACUUGUCUCUUGUAUUCUUUCUUAUUAUUAAAAGGCUGAGAUGAAGGCUGAGAUGUACUCUAAGAGAUAGAAAGAGAACAUAGUGUAGAGAAAAGAUGAGAAAAUUAUAUACGAGUUAUUAUUCUUUCUUGAAAUAAAUUUAUAUUUAUAAUUUUUCCUGUUUCAUAAAAGUGAGCAUUACUUCUUUAUCUCUUUUAAAUGAUAUAUUUAUGUUUGACUGUGAAAUGUCUUGCUUAAACCAUCAAAGAUCAAAUAUGAAAGAUGAUCAAUUUGAAAGGAAAAAAACAUGAAAAAUAUUAAAAAAUUUAACUGAAUAACUUAAGAUGAUACAUAAAUUAUUGUGAACUCUCACAUUAUCUAUCUUAGAUUUUUAAAAAACAAACCUGAAAAAACUAUAUUUUAAAAAAAUUCAAAGGGAUACAAGUCAAGAAAAAUGAUAUUACUAAGAUAUAGCAUUAGAAUUAUGAAAUUUUAAGUAUUACAUUACAAUUUAAUUCGUAUGUAUUGCUAACCAAAUUAACCUCAAAUGUCAUGCACCUAACCAAAUUAACCUUCUAUAAAUCUAUGUACAAACAUAAUUUUUCACUUAUCACCUCUCGACCAUAUUCUAACAGCACCUAACCUUCGAAAUCCACAUAUUUUGACUCUUUCAACGUCACCUUCUCCAUUUGAUUAUUCAAAUUUACCAUAUCAAUAACAACUCAACUCCCCUUCCCACCUCAAUUUUCAUAUUCCAUCUAAUGCAAAAUCAAUCAUAAUUUUGUGUCAAAGAUAUAAGGUGAAUUGAAUGAUUAAAGAAAAACUAAAGAGAAAAAAGUCACAAAUUUAAUCUCUUUUAUUAACAGUAGUAACAAUAAAUAUUUAUAUUUAAAAAAAACAUAGUUUUGUCUGGAAAAUGCCUAGUGAUGAACUGAUGAUGCACUCAAGUACUAAAUUGACAUACAUCAUUUCCUCUCCACGAUUGACACGUUGGUUUUCCACUCCAAGGAAAAAAAGACUUUAAUGUAAUUAGAUUAUAUAUCUCUCCUUAAGUUGUAACAACAGUUACAACAUUUCCAUGGUUCCACCUAUUUCUUGAGGUGUGUGGAUUAUCUCCUGCCAUCUUGCCUCUCCAGCAAGAAAAACCAAGCGAGGAGAGGACAUAGAAUAGAAAAGAGAGAGAUAAGUUGAAAGAUAAAAGAAAAAAUAGAAAAGGAAGAGAAAGAUAGAGAUAUUGAAGAAGGUCGGAGAGGAUCUGAAUAUUUACUCAAGCUAAGCUUGUAGUAUCUAAUAACAUUAUUGUUUGUAUUUUAAAAAAUUCAGGAUAUUUUUUUCAUAAAUUAAUAACUAAUCCUUUGAAGUAUUGAAAUGAUUUAAAAGACACACCGUCUCUUAUAGAUUUUUUUUUUUUACUCGUAAUAGAUAUCAAGAAUGACAAGGCUUAAUCAAAUUUGUUUGAUAAAUAAAAAUGAGAGACACAAGAACAACUCUAAAUAAUUUGAAACUAACAAAUUAUAACUGUAUUAAAAUAAUAAAAUGUAUACUAAAAAUAAUAAGAUAUAAUUUUGGCAAUAAAAUAAUGAAAACAAUAAUUGAGUAUUGUAUUUUUUAUAAUAUGUAAUUAUAUAAAUAUGAGUAUUGUAAUUUUAUAACUAUGGACAAAGAUACGCACUAUUUAUCUAUUGAUUUUUACAAACAAUAGAUAAAUAGUGCGUACCUUUGUUCAUAGUGAAGCUUCUCUUUUGUGUACUUUGAUUCUUGGAAAGAUGAGAAAAAGAAGAUUUUAAUUUGCUUUCUUGACUAUUUUUUGUCCCUCUACGUUUGUGAUUCGUAUUGACAAUUCAUAUGAUUCAUACGGAUCAACAAUUCAUAUGAGUUUAAAAAAAAUUCAUAAAGAUCAUCAAUCCGUAUGAGUUAUAUGGAUCGCCAAUCCAUAUGAAUCAUAUGAAUCACCAAUCCCUUUCACCUAUGUUGCUGGGUGUUCCAGCAAAAAUGUUGGGUGGCCAAAACAACUACCUUUUUAUUGGUUGGUACUUUUCGAGGGUCGCUAGCAACAUGUGAUGCAACUUGGGCUGUUACUAUUUGCAUCUCUAACUAUUUCAUGUAGGCUCUGGCUAUUACACCUACGUAUUCCCUAAGUACACCCAUGUACCCCCCCUUUACCUCUCAAUUACCCUUUAUACUCUUUUUCUUAAAAGCAUAUACCCCUUUUGCUUUCAGAAAUGUAUUUAUGGAAUUACACAUUCAUAUUCUGGAAAUGUAUCUCCGAAACUAUGGUUCAUAGUUCCAAAGAUAUACUUCUAGAAUUGGUAUAUAUUUUUUUAAUAAAAUAUCAUUUAAGAAAUAAGAUUAUUGAUAAGAAAUUAAAAAAAUAUGAUAAAUAUUUAUCUUAUAUUCAUGUUUAUUAGUCUUAUUUUCAUCUCAUCAUUAAUGUUCUUUAAACCUUAAUCAUAAACUAUUGUCACCGUAUAUUCAUUAUAUAAUAUAGCAUUUUUAUCAUUAUUUUACAAUAUUUUAUGUUUUCCUUUAUGUGACACUGAAUUCCAACAUACGUUCAUCACUAAUGUCCAUUUUGCUAGAUAAGGAACUUAGCUCAAUACAAUUUUGAAUAUACCUUUUUUCAAGAAUAAUGUUCAUUUCUUUUUCUAUUGAUCUCUAAGUAGUUAGUAACUUAGAAACCAAGUAAAGGGUUGAUAGAUAAGACAAGAAAAACUAUAUUAGACUAAAUAGGGAAAGAGAGAAAAAGAGAAAAAAAAGAGAAAGAUAUCCUUGAGAUUGAUGUUAAGAUUGUUUUGUCUUUGAUUUGGUUUGGUUUAGGGUGAGGAUGCAAAGAGUGAAGAUCUAUUAUAUAGGAGGGGUGUGAGUGAUUGAAACUGAUGAGUUAGGCACAAAGGAAAAGAAGAACUAACUUGUACGUGGAAGUGGAGUGUGACAAUGCAACAUGGGAUUUGUUAGGGCCCAUAGUGGGUCAAUCAAUAUGUUUUCCUCCUCUCUUAAGGGAAAAGAUAGACACAUGAGUGGGAAAAUACAUGAGUGGUUGAAACUGAUGGCAGUUAGGUACAAAGGAAAAAAAGAGGUAGUUGUUUACUUGUACGAGGAUGUGUUCGGUGUGUGGGAAAAUACACGGGUUUGGGAAACUGAUGAUAGUUAGGUACAAAGAAAAAGAAGAGGUAACUGUUUAACUGUAUGUGGAAGUGGAGUGUGACAAAUGCAAUAUGGGAUUUGAGAAAGAGGCCCUUAACGUUAGACAUCAAUCAUUAUAUGUACCAUUCAAUGUGUCUUCUGUUAUUUUUUCUAUUCCGUUUCUUCUUGGCCAUCGUUUUUCUCUGUGCAUUACUGCACUGUAAGAUGCAUUUGUCUCAGCCAUCAUCAGGGAUGAAUUGAAAUUAUGAGCAAUGCAUGUUGUUUGUUAUAUAAUAUAUAUGUAAUGGAACACAUGACUUUCUGCAUAUUGCAUGGUUGCAAGACACUGUGGAUGUUGAUCGAGCCUUGAAUAUGGCAGUUAGGUACACGGUUAGCAUGCAUUGCCGAAACACAUGUUGUCAUAUCUAGCUAGCAAAGAAUUCCUUUACAUUUGAUGGAUAAUUAAUAACUUUUGAGAUUGUUUAACUCUUUUGUUUGUGCUCACGUUGGUUUGGAUUCAAAUGCUUGACAAAAAAAGAUAAUGACAAGAAAAGGAUAAUCAAAAUGGUUUAAGAGAAAUGUGUUUAGUUUAAGAGGAAUGAAUAAAUAAAUAAAAAUAAUUUAUUCAAUUAAAAUAAUUUAUUUUCAAAAUAUAUAGAUCGAUUGUCAAAAUGUAUAAUCAAUUAUUCAAAAAAAAAAUUGAUAAUCAAUUGUAGGACAUGAAAAUCAAUUUUCAAGUUUUCAAAAUCGAUUUUCAUAGAGUGUUUACUGAUAUGGUUGGAGGUAUAUAAUUAAAUUAAAGUAUAAUGGGAUAAUUAAGUAUUAGGUUUCUCUUAAAAUUAUCUCUUUUGUUCUAUUGUGUUUACUAAGCCUAAUUUAACUAAAAAUCCCUUUAGAAGAUCUUCUUGCUUAUUUAUUCAGUAUGAAUCAAUUUAAUAAAAGUAAUAAGGACUCAAGAAUUAUCCGUUUGCAACCCAUCAUAUAACAUGAGAACAUCUAGCCAUAACUCAAACAUCACCACUUAUUUCCACUACCACACAAAUCACACCAUCAUGUGCUUCAAGGAAGUGUAAAAAUGAAUAUGACAGAAGAGAUAUAAGUAAGCAUGUGCCUAUGGCUCAUUUGUAGUCGUAUUGCUACAUACUAUUAGCAUGUCUAAGAUCUAAUGGGGAGUGGAGAAAGUUACGCCAAAAGUAGAGGCAAAGUAGCUUCAAUAAUGUUAUUUCAAUGGGUCAAGGAGGCUGGCUUUUGGACAAGUCAUAGCAUAUUUGAUUUGAAUUAUGGCCAAUUCUACAGUGAUAAUCAACUGUGGUUGGGAUCUGUGCUGAAUUUAUUCAUUAUCAUAGGAUACAAAUAAACAACAAUAAGUUGUAUGCAAGAAUUUCUCAUUUGGAUUUGUUAAUGAUUUCCAAUCAAACUAAUAUGUAAAAAGGACUAAAGGCUACCACUUCAAAAGCAUUAAAAACUAAAUUUUGUUUAUGUUGCAUCCUUUUUCUAAAAGCAAAUUCUUUCAGCUUUUUUUUUCUAGAAUGCGUUAGCAGUGUUUUUUUUUUAAUAAAUAAGAGAUUCAUAAAUCUAUGACGUACUUUGUCCAGCUACCUAUCUAUUACCCUAUAUGAAUCUUGGCAAAGUCUGACUAAAUUCUAUUCAGUCCUACCUAGCCCAUGCAACAGAUGUUGUUAGUUUGAUUUGCGUUCUCAUAGGAGAAGCCUGACAGCCUAAUGUAACAUGUUUGGAUUAGGCCUAUGAAUAUUAUGCAGCACCAUUGGAGUAAAAACUUGCCGAGUGCAAAAAACUAGUUCAGUGGCUAAAGAGAAGUGUUUUAUAAGUGGACUAACAUUCACAAGUGCUUGGAUUAUGAAGAUCUCGAGUUACUAUAGUUGUUCCUUGCUGGCUAGGUCAUAUCACAUUUAGAACAAGAGAGAUGCUAUAACAUAUUUUCUAACUCUCCUUAUUCCUUACACUUGUUGGAAAUUAUAAAAUUAUGUAAAUUGUUAACUCAUUGGCAAGUGCACCAAUUUAUCACAAAUAGUAAAGUUAAAAUGGAAGUACGAGCAUCAAAUCCACAAGGACUUUAUUUGUAUUUAAAUUGAUGCAAACCUAAUUUACAAGUAAGAGAUAAGGAAUUUAAAAUAAAAGAUAAUUAAAGAGAGUUAAAAGAUAAGAUAAAUAUUUAAAUUAAAAGAUGAUAAAGAUAGAAGAUAAAAAUGAUGAUAAUAUGUUCAAAUUCUUAAAGAUAAAUUCAAAAUUUAAAAUAUGUUGGGGCCAAGCAUGCCUAAUCCUUGAUGGUGUUUCUCUAUUUAAUGUUAUUCGAUUUUCACCCAUAUCUAUUAAGAUACUGAACACUGUGAUCCCUCAUGAUGAAGAGCUUAAUUUAUCUAUUCUCUCUCAAAUCUCUUUGCAGAGAUAAAACAAUAAAUUGCAUGUAGUUAGGAUACUCUUUCCCUAGCAAUGAUUUGUUCAGAUGUUCUCUUCCAAUUCUUUAGAAAUUAUCAUUUCCCAAUGUCUAAUCCCUAAACAAAUGCAGGAUGAUCAGACCAUACAAUACAAUAAAACACAAGAAAGAAACAAUAAAAAUUGACAUUGCAUUCAAUAGAUAGUAAGAAAAGAUUAUAUUACAAGGACAUUGGUUUCUCGGCUCCUAACAAUGAAGGUUUAGUCUCUCAUUGCAUUCAAUAGAUAGUAAGGAAAUAGUGUUGCUUGCACUAGUCUUAAAUACAAUAACCACUUUUAACUAAAACUCUCUGUUAUAUACGUCUUAAAAUUUAAAAUUAUAAGAAUAUGAAAAUUAAUAAUUUUUUAAAAUUUAUUUCCUAUCCUUCUUAACUAAAUAAAGUAUCUAAUCAAAAUCUCUUUUCUCUCUUCCAUUGAAAUCACUCACGUUCCCUACUCUCUAUCCAAGCAGUCCCAGAAGCCACUAUUUCAGUUUUAUUUCUUAAUAUAGCAUUGUAAAAAUUAGUAACCAUCUGCCCAAAACCUCAUCAAUUAUAGCAUUCAACGAGAAACUCGUAAUAUAUUUUGGUUGGAUUUUCAAGAUAAAUUUCUCUUAUUCUUAUUUGAAACCGUGAAAAAGAAAGAAAACUCAACAAAAGUCCCACCUAGAAAUGUUUUCCAGCCCCUCACCAUGCCAAAAUAUCCUGGCAGGAAGCGGCAAUAGGGGAAUAUUUUGAGCAAAAAGUCUAUGAUCUUAGUUUCACCUUCUCUCAAAUCUUUUUAUCUCAUUUAUUUAAAACUUCAAAUUUAAGUCUAUUAAUAUUUUUCAUUUGUAUAAAUUUUGAAUGUUUCUAUGUUUAUCUUUAUAAAAAAAUUGAAAUAAUUUUUGUACAAAAGUUAGGAUUAUUGACACCAAGAGAAAAUUCCUUCGGUGCACCAAGUUGUUUAAAGUAAUAAAGUUUGAUGAAGCAUUCUUGGAGUCCAAGUGCGAGUAACAAGUCAAACAUUGGAUAAAAAUAGACAUAUUGUUGAACAACAUAUAAGUGAAAAUGAUUUGUAAAUCGCUUGUUUUAUGGCUUUAGAUUAGAUGUGGUGUCAAAUUGAUUUAUGUAGUUUUCUUGUGGCCCAUCUAUAGAUAUCUCAAUGUUAUUUUACUCAUUAUAUUUCCAAACAAAGGGUAUCGAGGCAAAUGGUGCCCUCAUGGAGGAGCUUCGUUUAUGAAGAAUUUCAGUGUUUUUCUUUUAUUAGCAUAUAUAAAUUCAUAAAUUUCGAUCGAGUUUGAAUUUGUGAGAUUCAGAGUGUUAGUUUUUCAAUGCGAUAGAGAUUAAAUAAUAAUAUGGUAAAACAUGUUUUUGUUCUAUAAAACGUCUGAAGUUUAGUUUUAGUCUAUUAAAAAAUUUGGUUUGUUUUUCGUCCUUCUAAUUUUAUAAUGUAUCAUUUUUAUUCCCUCAAGUAUUAUUUAAACCACUUUUCGUCUCUCUAUAAAGUACUAUCAAAGUCACAUUAAAGAUAAAAAGUGGCGCGCUUCAAUAUUAGAAAGACAAAAAAAUGGACAAAUUUUUAGACGGAAUAAAACCAAACAUUAAAAAUUUGAGAGAUCAAAGACAUAUUCUACAAAAAGAUAAACCACAAAGUGGCAAGGGUCAAAUAAAAAAUAUAAAAACCUUUAUUUCAGGUCAAUUUUACCCAUACCUUACUGGUUUAAAUUACCUUCGAUAUCAAAUCAAUUUUAAUGCUUUGUCAUACAUCACUCAUAAGGUGAUACACCUUACCCUGAACCAUAUAUCUAAUAGCAUUUAUUUUGAAAUAUGAAAAAAAAUAAUUAUAUCUAAUAUUCAUAUUGUUUAAAAUAUUAAAUAUUCGUGCCAGUACACCUAAAGUUUAAGAAGACACAUGUUAAAAAGACAUAUUAGUUUAAAAAGUAAAUUACACUAAUUUAAAGUUUUGUGAAAUUACACAAAUUGCAUUCCAUGUUAGUGUAUUUUACUCUAAUUUAAAAUUACAGUUAGAUGUUUAUGGAGCAUGUGCUAACUUGUCUUAAGGAAAUGUUUGUGUACAAACAAAAGUUGUUCCUUAAUUUUGAACUUUGGAGGUCAUUUUCUAAGUGUACGCAUAUGAAAAAAUAUUUUAAAAAAUUAUACAAAAAUAAUAAUUAUAUAUAAUAAAAUAGAUUAUAUUAAUUAUUUCAUAUUCAAAUAAAAAUUAUUUGUUUAAUCAUUUUCUUAUUGCAGACAUUUAAGAGUGAAUAAAAGUAAGAAAUUUUUUAAUUUGUAACCUGUCUCUAAGACGGGUGCAUAUUGUAGUACCAACUAUAGACCUUAACUCAUACCACAUUUACUAUUGGUAGAACGCAAAUCAAGGUUAUAAAUUGAUGGAUUAGCAUAAAUUUGUCAAAAAAAAGUCAUAAAGGCUAACCAUAUACACUAUGUGGCCUUUACAUUCCUUCUCUCCCUUUCUUAUUUUAGAAAAUAUGAUUUUUAGCAUUUUAACAAACCACAAAUAGCAUUUGAAUGAUUCAACUGUAUUAGGUGUUCAAUAUCAUUUUUUUAAUGUAUAAAUAACACUUUACAUUGCAUCCCCAAACUACAAAAACAUAUUCUUCAAUGGAAUUUGGCAAAAAGUAGCCAUCGCCCCAACGAUCCCAUUUCCCUUGACUUCUCUACGUGAAGAUCCUUGUGUCGCAUAGUACGUGCAUAAAUUACUAUACAAGUUAAUUUGAGGAAUGCAAUAUAUUUAUAUUUUAUGUAAAUGUGACUUUCUUAUUAUUAGAUUUCGAUCUUUUAAAAAAAUAUUGUCUAUAGUUUCUUGAUGACGAUGUUAUAUGCUUUUCGUUAUACCCUAUUACAUGUCACAUCAAAAUGGUUGGUGGUGCGACAUGAGUAGUUGCAUGACAUGUUAUAACCAAGCGACUAUAUAAAGUUUUUUUUUAAAAAAAACAAUUAUAGAGAUGAAAAAAGAAUCAAAAUCAAAUAAGUCAUGUUUAGAGUUUAAAAACAUGUCCAUUCUUAAUUAGUGCAGAGGAAUAUUAUGGUCAUAUUACUUGUCAUAUUAACUAAUUUUACAUAAAUAUUCAUUUAUGACAGGAGCUAGUUAAAAUGUCUGAGGGAAAUGCAGGGAAAGGAAAGAGAAUCGCCAUCAUUGGCGUCUCAGCCUUAUUGUUGGUGGCUAUGGUUGUGGCAAUCACAGUUGGGGUCAAUCUCAAUGAGAAUGGUUCCAACAAUGAUACAGAGGACAACAAGAAAAAUCAUGUUGUUUCUUCUAUAAAAGCCGUCCAAACCCUUUGUCAUCCCACAAAUUAUAAGAAAGAAUGCGAGGAAAGCCUUAUAGCUGGGGCUGGAAAUACCACAGAUCCAAAAGAACUUAUCAAAAUUUUCUUCAACAUCACCAUUACAAAAAUUGGUGAUAAACUCAAAGAAACUAAUAUUUUGCAUGAGGUUGAGGAGGAACCCAGAGCCAAGAUGGCACUUGAAACAUGCAAGCAACUCAUGGAUCUUUCUAUUGGGGAAUUAACAAGGUCACUUGAUGGAAUAGGUGAGUUUAACCUCAUAAAUGUUGACAAAAUCCUCAUGAAUUUAAAAGUUUGGCUUAGUGGCGCGGUUACAUACCAAGAUACUUGCUUGGAUGGGUUUGAGAACACCACUAGUGAUGCUGGCAAAAAGAUGAAGGAUUUGUUGACGAUAGGCAUGCAUAUGAGCAGCAACGCCCUUGCCAUUGUAACAGAUUUAGCUGACACUGUUAAUGAUUGGAAUAUCACAAAAUCAUUUGGGCGUCGCCUCCUUCAAGAUUCUGAGCUUCCGUCAUGGGUUGAUCAACAUAGACUCCUUAAUGAAAAUGCAAGUCCAUUAAAACGCAAGCCUAAUGUUACUGUAGCCAUAGAUGGUAGUGGAGAUUUCAAAAGCAUCAAUGAGGCAUUGAAGCAAGUGCCUGAGAAAAACCGAAAGCCAUUUGUGAUCUACAUCAAGGAAGGCGUUUACCAAGAGUAUGUUGAAGUUACAAAAAAAAUGACCCAUGUGGUGUUUAUUGGUGAAGGGGGGAAAAAGACACGAAUAUCUGGUAACAAAAACUUCAUAGAUGGAACGAACACUUAUAGAACUGCCACUGUCGGUAUGUCUCUUUUCGUGAUUAUCAACUUAAUUAACUUACUAGUCCUAUGCAUUUGAGUAAAAAAAACUUAAUUAAUAACUUAUCCAAUAAAUUUAUUAAAUGAAACCUUAUUCAUGAGUCAGACAGUGAAGCUUACCAAAAUGAGAUUAAAAGAAACUAAAUUUAUUACUCAUGUGCAUUUGGGUAAAAAAAAACAUAAUUAAAAACUUAUUCAAUAAAUUUAUUAAAUGAAACCUUAUUCUUGAGUCAAACUUUGAAGCUUGCUAAAAUGAGAUUAAAAAAACUAAAUUUGAUAAGUUUCUCCAUAAAACUCUGAAGUUUAUAAAAAUAUCAUAUGUCAUGUUCUUCAACUUGAAUAAACUCUUUGAAAAGUCCUUUCCUUACUUAACAUUUUAAGGUCCAUAGUUUUUAUUUGAAAACACCUUUAACCCGCCCCAAAAUGAAUAAAUUAAUAAAAGAUACAUUUACAAAAUUUAAUUAAACAAAAAAAUUAAAAAUAAACCAUUUGUAAUUCAAGGGAAUUUUUUAUUCAAAUAAAUAAAUUAACUACUUUAUGCAUGCAGCUAUUCAAGGAGAUCACUUUGUGGCCAUCAAUAUGGGGUUUGAGAAUUCUGCUGGACCUCAUAAGCAUCAAGCGGUGGCAUUGAGAGUCCAAGCAGACAAGUCCAUCUUUUACAAUUGCUCAAUGGAUGGGUAUCAAGACACACUUUAUGCACACACCAUGCGUCAAUUCUAUAGAGAUUGCACCAUUUCAGGUACCAUCGACUUUGUGUUCGGUAAUGCACUAGCUGUUUUUCAAAAUUGCACUUUCGUGGUCCGAAAGCCACUGGAGAACCAACAAUGCAUUGUGACUGCACAAGGUAGAAAAGAGAGACAACAACCAUCUGGAAUAGUAAUCCAAGGGGGAUCCAUUGUGUCUGACCCUGAGUUCUACUCAGUGAGAUUUGAGAACAAGGCUUACCUAGCUCGUCCAUGGAAGAAUUACUCUAGGACCAUUAUCAUGGACACGUACAUUGAUGAUUUGAUUGACGCUGAUGGGUAUUUGCCAUGGCAAGGACUAGAGGGUCCUUCUGGUAUGGAUACUUGCUUCUAUGCCGAGUACCACAACAUUGGCCCCGGUUCAGACAAAUCCAAGCGUGUGAAAUGGGCUGGGAUUUGGAACCUCAAUUCAAAAGCAGCACGUUGGUUCUCACCAUCUAAGUUUUUUCAUGGAACUGAUUGGAUUGAGGUUACCGGAAUUCCUUGCUUUC
This 51369-nucleotide long non-coding RNA is filed under the name Glycine max (soybean). Its description in RNAcentral is "long non-coding RNA (GMAX_LNC001396)". The record is from RNAcentral. Lineage: Eukaryota; Viridiplantae; Streptophyta; Magnoliopsida; Fabales; Fabaceae.